CCUUCAUUGCUUGCGCCUCUCUCUUCUUCUAUCUCCAGUGAUCUUCUCUAUAAAUUCAUGCAUGCCCGAGAGCAAAGAUAUAGCCAUUUGCGACAAGAACUCAGUAACCCUUCUAAGUUUCAAAGCUUCUUUUUCACGUUAGUCCACCACCAUGUCAAGCACCUGCGGCAACUGCGACUGCGCUGACAAGAGCCAGUGCGUGUAAGUAUCAUCAAACCCUACUUUUAGCAGCACAAAGUAUUACAGAAGAUAUUAGGGUUACAGUUGGUUUAGUUAAAAACCUGGUUGUGUAAGGCCUGUUUACUUUAAUUUCUUGAAGAAGUUUCCUUGCUAGCUGCAACUUGUGUGUUGAUUAUUGAUGUUAUGCACUUUGAUAUUUGCAGGAAGAAGGGCAGCAGCUACACUGCUGACAUAGUUGAGACUGAGAAGAGGUAUGCAAAGCAAAUUCAAUUAAUAAGCAAUCUCACCCAACAUAUAAUCACUUGAAUUGUAAUAUCUUAUUCAAGAUGAUACAAUACGAGGGUUAAUUUUGAUUCAACAGUUAAGUAGCUUGGUUAUAACAAUAACAAAACAAGAUAAUUACUAUGAAUAUGUUAUGAACUUGAUUACUUUGAUUUUAGGUUUUACACUUGGAUUCCAGUACUAAUGGGAUGUUUCAUUUCUUGCAGCUUCGUCUCCACUAUUGUUAUGGAGGUUCCUGCCGCCGAGAACGACGGCAAGUGCAAGUGCGCUGCUGGCUGCACCUGCACUACUUGCACUUGUGGUCACUAAACUUAUAAAAGCAAAACAUAUAGGGUCGUGUGAGUGUGAGGCUGCAGGGGAGUUGCUAAUAAUGUGAUUGUGCUAAAUAAUCCUUGUCUCUGUUGUAAAGCAUGUGGGAAUGGGGUGAAAUACUCAUUUCCUUGCACAGUCGUGUAAUGGCCAUAUCACCGUAUGGCCUUUGUGUGGCUCAGUUAAUGAAUUAUUAUUAGUAUAAACCUGCUACUGAUCAUCUUUUCCAGUUAUCUAGUCUUUUCGUUCCCCAACAGUUUGAUUCGUAUAUAUAGCUUAUAAUCAUCCUUCUCCAUUGAUAAAGGGUCCCUAAAUAACUAGCAGAGCACACUGUCUGUUUAAAUGUAUUUACUGGUUAAACAGUAUAUAGAAGUCAAACAGUUGUAAUUACAAACGUUAUCUCAGCGAAGCACCCUGCAUAUGGAACCUGAAGAUUCCCUAAAUGAAGUUCCACACAAAAAUGACUAAUUCCACACAUAAACUUAAAGGUAAAGAAGAAAGCUGGAUGCAUAUGCUCUCUACACUAAAACAAGAAAUCGGAUGCCUGCCACUAUAGGUAUCGGCAAUUAACAGUAAAUUUAAAUUUUUGAGAAUUUGUUCUCUAUAUCAGUUGGGAUUUCGGCUUUGUUGCUGUUGUUCUCAGUAUGGGUCCAUGGCAAAAUCAUGAAUGGUUCCAAGUGAGCAGAUAAGAAACAACAUCAAUAUGUUACAAAAUACGCGCAUCAAGAUGUUACAAAAAUACGCGCCUGCUCACGGGAGUCAUCCUUCCAGAUAUGCAAUAGCUUGAGCUGAGCCAUUGAUCUCAUGUCCAAGUUUUUAAAUCAAGAAAAAUAAUAUAUAAAAUUAUUAGAAAGCAGCACAAUGCACAAUGGCAACUCAAGAAUACAUUAGAAGAUCACCACCCACAAAAGUAAGACAACCAAAUAUUACAGUCAAAUCAUGUGCUCUCUUCUACUUUGAAUUGUGAAGACUGCCUCAUAUUUUCAAUAAAAUGCACAAGUCAAAACACAAGUUAUCAAGAAAAAACAGCCUGUUUCUUAUUUUAUUCCUCAACUAUUUUGGUAUGUAUAGUCCCAAAAAGCAGGUAUCCUAGGGCCCAAAAUACAUAAGUCAUCAACUUAACCAUUUGAAUCGAUCUCAAACGUUAAAACCUUCAGCUCGAAGGCACUGACGAUGAGCAUCAAUCCAUUUUGUGCAAGCAGUUUCACCAUGCUCCACAAUGCAUUCAUCUCUCAGCUUCUUGGUUUCAGGGCAGGCACAGCAAAUCUUCUUCUUUGGCUUUGAUUCUGGUACAGAUGUUGAGUUUGCUGAACCCUUAUUUUGCCCUGAUCCUGGCAGAGCAAAGGUUGAGGAAGCAUUUUGCAAAGGCAGCCCACCCAUUGCCGCAAAGGACCAAAAGAUAUCACUGCAAGAGGGACUCUGGAGAACAAGAAAGAACGAAGAAAAUCAAAUUCAAAUCAAAGAAUAGAAGAAGAAGAAGAAGAAGAAGAAGAAGAAGAAGAAGCUAGAUCUCUUCUCUGCUGCAUAGCAUCUAAUAAGUCAUUCAUAAAAGAAAUCGGAUAGAUCUCUGCUCUAGCCAGAAUAUAGAUAAGAAAUCCAUUAAUCUCUCAUUACAAACUUAUUCUACUACAUAGCAAUCACACUUCUAAUGGAAUUCUAAAACAAACAUUUUAGCGCAAGUUGGGACCCAUUAAUGAAUAUCAUCAACAUUUUCUUUAAGAAGGGCAAAAAUAUCCACCAACACUGUAGAGGAAUAAUGAAAGUGAUUACCAAAAUAAUUUGCAUCAUACUGGGCAUAACUUAAAAUGCAUAAAUAAUUUGCAUCAUGCUGUACAUAUCUUAAAAUGCAUGGCCUUAUUCGUUAAAUCAGAUGACCAUUGAUCCAAGUGCCUUCAUAUGCCACUAAUGAUAUGAUCACUGGUUCAAGAGCAAGGUGCACCGCCCUGAAAAGUGAUAUCUAUCCUUGAACAUCAUUGAAGCUUGUUGACUCAAAUUAAACAUUCUACUUAAAUAUUUUUGCAUAAAAAAUAAUUAACCUUUGGUAUUUACUAAGAGAACAAUAAUCAUUACUCAACCUCUUCCCAAUAAAUUUCACAGCCAGAAAUAAGCAAUGGAGACUACCAACAAGUUUAGGACUACACAGGAAGGUGUAAUCAAGUUGCAAUUCUUAACCUUUGAAGAGAAUGAGAUUACACCAACAAAUCCAACACAUUGGAUGUUCAAUUCACUUCUAGCUAAAUCUAAUUUGUCAUGAGUGACAGAACUAUAGCAUAAGAAGUAAUUUUAUUUGCAUUCCUCCCUCAGAAUCUCCCACUUCAUCAUUCUAAAUUGCAUUAACCCUUCAUAUAUCACAACAACUUUCAUUAUUCAUUUCGCAGAAACAAAAAGAUUUUCCAGAAAAGCGAACCUAGAAAAAAAAAAUGCAACUAAAGAAAACAAAAUUGUUAACAAAAAAAAAACAUAAAUACAGUAUUGAUGCCAAUAAUUCGCUCCUGAAUCACAACAAAUAUCAACAACUAAACAAAAAUAGGAAAUCAAACAACUUGACACAAUUAAAACAUAGCUAUUUCGUCCAACAUAAGGAUAUCAAACUCAAACAAAAAAAAGAAAAAAAAAAAAAAAGAGGAGGAACUUAUAAUCGGUAUUAUGGAAGACCGUUGGAAAUUUUAGAAAGGAAGCGAGGGACCAUAAGCUUGAAUAGAAUAAGUGAAAAGGAGGAUAAUUUUGCAAAGGACAUAUCAUGUUGAUUAUCCAUUAGAUAUUUUGUAAAUUUUUAGUUGAAUCUUCAAUAUUGAAAUCUAACUAUCGAAAUAAUACACUCAAAGGUUCAAUUCAAACACGAGUUAUUUUUGCAUGUAACAAUUGCUCAAGAAGCUAUAUGUUCCGCUGAGAAGAAAAAAGGGUUAGAAGCAACCCUAGGCUUAGAAACUCACCUGAUUGAGAAAGGAUGUUUCAGAGACUGCAAGGUUGAGUUUUGGGGGGUUGAUUUUGAACUGGGAGGGUUUUUGGGUUUCCAGAAAUCAAGAAACUAUGGGCUGGAGAACCUGAAGAAAAGAAGAGGCUUUACGUGGUGUAUAAAAUGACAUCGUUUAUACCCUUUUCUUUUGGGUUAGGGUUAAUUACAUAAUCUCCUCCAAUAUUUAACAAUUUGAAAAGAAUAGUUAUUAUUAUUAUAAUUUAAAUAUGACUUUUUAAUUAUAGUAGACCCAAGACCUCUAAUAGAAAUACAUUUAAAGCCCACAGUAAGCUAUUUGAUCUACCGUAGUAGGAACAAAAAACGCGCUGCACAUCUUCCAUGAAGCUCCGGAGCCUUUGUUGACGUAAAAACUCAUUAGAAAAGGUCGCUCCAACAACUCAGGCCACACAUCCUUUUGAGGAUGUUAUGUUACUUCGAGAACCGCAUAUUCUCACAGCAUGAAUCACCGCCUAGAAUUUCGAAUUCCUGGGUAUAAGUUGCGUGCUUAGGUUGAUUUACUUAUUUAUUAAAGCACAAAUUCAAUGAUAUAAUUAAAAAGUCAAGAUUUUCCACAUCAAAUACAAGUAGGAUUGGAUUUGGAGUUGCCGUCUAACAUCCCAGAUUAAUUUAUUAAAAGAAAACCUGCAAAGCAUUGAUAAUAAGGUAAAAAAAGGGCUCUUUGAAUUGGCUACAACAGCAAGAGAAAGGCAGCAAAAAUAAAAUUUCAGAAUUCACAUUUCUCAACAUCAAAUAUACAGGGACAAGAUCGAAUUAGUGGGAAGUUCAGAGAUUGAUGAUAUUAGCUAAAUUAAAGCUUCAAAUGAAAGAAAAUAUGCCAAUAGCAGAUCUCAUUGGCCAUCUCCAUUUUACCUCCAUUUUAAAGAUCUCAUAAACAAGAUUUUGCAGCAGAAAUCCAGGAUCUUAUCUAUGCUUACCACCUUUGCCUCCAAUUUAUAUUUUCACUCUACAAUGCACACCAGAACGCCAAAGAUCCCACCUGUGAAAACUCAGCUUUCUUCACUAAUUCCAGCUGAAAUUUAUUCAAACGAAGCCCCAGAGGGCAGGGCAUGAUCAAGUUCAGUAAGGCCAACUGUGUGCUGUCGCUAAUCAUACUUCUCUCUCCAUGAGUAAACAAGAAAAAAAACCCAGGAAAGAGCCAAUGCAAUAUCUCCUACAACCUGCCUUGGCAAAUCAUGAGCCAGAUCUUCAAGCUUCCACUCAAAGUAAAUUCUCCAGAAAGCCACUGCAACGUGAAUCAGCACACAACCCUUUGCAAAAAAGCUUUGGAAUUCUCUAUCCUUGACAAAUGCCACCAUGAACAACAAGAAACCAAUUGCAAACAAGAGCAACCCAGAAAAGGAAUCAGAGGUUUGGAUCAAGAGUUGAUCAUGGGGUGUUGAUCCUUUCAGCUUAGAAGCUACCUCAAUGCCAUGGCCAAACACAGACGCCUCAUUUGUGUAAAACAUCAUCAGAGCUCCACAUGUUAGAGCUAUCAACGAAUGAAGCAUACAUAUCAAAAAGAACCCAGAUGAGCCCAUUUGGUCAGGCACAAGAUAAAGUUUCUUAUCUUCCCCUUCUUCCGACACAAAUCAAGUACAAAUAGCUUAACAACAAAAGCCAACGUACUUUGUCAAUAAGAACCCAAUUGAUAAGAACCCUAAUUGUAUCUCGAGUUAAUGGGCGAUCAGAAAGGGAAAGGAGAUGGAAUCACCCACCAAAAUCCUAACCCAGGAUUCAUACAAAAAACCAAAAACGAAAACCCACUGAACAACACACCAAAAAGGUCUUCGUAACCAAAUGUAACAUAACUUUAAAUGAAGAAUCGGAACAUAUUAAACACGAAACCACACAUAAACAACUUAAAUUUCAAUUUUCUAGCCAACUGAAAGAGCCCACUUUUCCAGCUACAAAAACCUCGAAAGUUCUAACCUCAAAUUUUUGCGUAGAGCCCAGUCGCAGAGAGAAAUCCAAGAAAGAAAAAAGCUUUAUAUCCAACAACCACAAGAAGACUGAAGGGGCAAAGAAAAGUAAACAAACGAAUCGACGCUGGGCUGGAGUGGGGUUUUAGCAGGGAGAUUCUUGUUCAAUUUUGGAUACAAGCACAAGGGUUGCUGUCAUUCUGCUUAAUUAAUGGAUACAAAUUCAUAAUUUUGUGGGUCUCCUUGUUUAAAAUUAAAAUUAAUAUAUACAAAUUCUGGAGAAAUUUUUCUUAUGUCAUUAUUCCUAUCUUAAUUCAUCUUAUCCGAUAUAUAUAUAUUUUCAAUUUUUUCUACAAUGCUUUCUUACAGCAUUUCAAACUUUAGGGCAGAGUACAGAAUGGAAAUGGAACUGAUCUUAGAUUGAUAUACAUAAAUAAUAUAUAUUUUGCUAUCGCCCUAAAUUGGUCUUGAUGAUUAUUUUUUAUUUAUGGUAUGUUUUUAAUCAAUUGUGACGAUUUUUUUGAAAUAGAAACAAUUAUUAUCAUGAUUUUUUAAUAAAUAGUAUAAUAAAAGUUAAUUUUUAAAUGGAAAUUGAUACGUAUUCGAAAGCAUACCAUCACGUCACCUAUCCGCAAAAUGUCAUGCUUUUCUGCUUGAUCUGCUACCCAAUUUAACGCUUGUGGGUCACGGACUUAUGGGUCUACUCAACGGUGUGCUUUUGUUUUAGGCAUCAAAGAGUAGAAUCUCUAUUUAUUGGACAAUUACCUUUAAUCUUUUUCCUUUUUUAACUAUACAAUGAUUCAUUGUAUUUCCAAGCAUCUAGAGCAGAGUAAAAGAGACUUGUAAAAUAAAAAAAAUUAAAAGCCAUUAAAAUUAAAUAACAUAUUAUCAACUAUAAUUGCAAUUAAUUCAAACCACUGAAUAAAAAAACCAUAUAUCUAAAAAUUAAAAACCGCACUUAGUUCAAACCACCGAAUAAAAAAACAAUAUAUCUAGAAAUCAAAGCAAAGCACAAUCUAUCCAAAGACACCGCUUUGAUGAACUACCACUAUUUAGACAUUCAAUCACAUAUGACUGAUAUAGGGCAAUCACAACACCAAACAAAAUAAACACAAUAAAUGAAAAAAACUUAAGUAAACCCACAUGCAAUUAUGAAAUAUAGAGACUUUCAACAUAAGAACAACUUCCAUUACUAAUACUAGAAGCAGAACUUAGUCGAACAACGGCAAUAGCGAUGCGAUCUUAAAAUGCCAAUUUCAUUGAGCCAAAUGUCCUUUCCAAAGAGAAUUGAAAAAAUCUCAAUUGCAAGUUUGUCAUUGAGUCAAAUCUCCUUUUUCAAAAGAGAAUCAAAAAAAUCUCAAAUACAAAUUUCCCAAAAUGCUCCGCUCGCAGAUAAAAGCCAAAACCUACAACUAAACCAAAUAAAAGAGCUGCCAACAAACAAAAGUCUCAUAGGGCCAUCCCAACAAGAGAGAGUGUGGAGGCACAAACAAUUAAAAUAAAAAUAAUAAUAAUAAUAACUUCUCCCCUAUCCAAAGGUAGGAAAAAAUAAAUCCAGCCUCUUAAAACAUCCAAAUAAGAAAAGAGUCAUCAAAAAUCUAAAAAUCUAUUCCGAUAAAGUGCGACUACAGGAGGCUAGUCUCUCUCCUCCCUCUUUCUCUUUCUGUUCUUCCCACCUUUCACCUUUCUCCUUUCUCUCCCCUUUUUUCGUUCUCUCCCCUUCAAAAAAAAUCUUAUCAGACUAGUAAUUUAUUCUAUUUUUUUUAAUUUGCAUUAAAUUUUUUUAUAAUUAAUAAAUACUUAUCUAUAAAUUUGUAAAGAAAAAUUUCCAAAAGUCAAAAGGUAUCUAUAUAAUAAGUAAUUUUUAUUAUUAUUUAAAUCCGUUUUACAAUUAGUCAUUUAAAAUAAAUAAUAAGGAACUAUAUUUUGAACUUUUGUUGGUGCCUUUUUGAAGAAAGAACAAUUUAGCCAAAAUUUUAGUUUGGUGUCUUGAAUUCGAAAAGGGUAUGGACGUAUAUGGUUGAUUUUCCAUGGACGACUUUCCUUUGGUGGCAAGCGAUCCCAUCUCGAAUAUCAAGCUUGGAUUGGUUAGUCAUAAUUAAUUUAUUAAUAUGUUUAUAUCAACCAUAAAUUUCAUUUAUUUUUUAGUAGUGAACCAUAACUCUAUCAAUAAAUUAUUUAUUUGAUAGUCAAAAGUGAAGAGAGAUGAAAAUGAGGAUAAUGGUGGAUGGAAUGAUGGGUUGCAACGUGGGAUUGGAAUACUUUACUAUAUCUGAAGCUGUAUUGCUUUAAUGCUUUGCGCUGUAUGCCAACCCAACCUGACAACCACAUUAUUAUAUCAAUCAUAAAGAGAAAUGGGAAAUCAUUGUUCAUAAAAAGAGUGCAAAAAAAACAUCACAGGAGACAUGAGGCAUCCAACACAGCUGUUAGAUUUUGCUGGUACAAAGUCAUUGUUUCCAUUAUUCAUUUCUGUCUUUCAGCUCGUGUGCAAUGUAAUUCCACCCAUAACCUUUUCUUCCUUUUUGUGAUCCCACCAAGAAAGAAGAAUAAACAAACCUUCUGAACUGCAAAUUCUGGAAGGGGACCAACCUCUCCUAUGCAAAACCUCUUCUUUUUCUUUUUAGUUUUCAGUUUACAGAGGGGAUGGGAGGACUGAAAGUAUCACUUUUGAGUGUUUAUCAGUUCUUUCCUGACAAUUGAUAGAAGUGAAGCAUUAUCAUCUUCAUCCUAUUUGAUACCAUUACUGUUCAAGAAACCCACAACAAUAAGGUUAAAAGAUGAAAGUAAAGAUGUGCAUCAAGAAACAUAAAUCAAAUGGCAAGGAAUCAUUGCAGUUUGUAUGUAAUUAUUUGGUUGGAUGUAUUUACAACAAUAAAAGAAUCAACAGAUAUCAACAAUUUGGAAACAAAAUUUUGAGACUCGUGACCUUUUGAUCAUUCUUAAGACUUGUAAACAAAUCCUAUUCCCUGGAGUAGAAACAGGAAGAAAAGGUUAAAUUUUUCUUGCCUGUGAAAUGACUUGCUUGUCCCUAUUACCAGCAACAGACUUGCGGUGAUGUCUUGGAUUAGAUCUCCUAGACCUCCCAUGCCUAGGAUUCUUCCCUGGAGUCCUUCCAGUUCCACUAUCGCGGUUCAGAGGCGGCCUACGUGGAAUAACAGGGGUAACAGGAGGGGACCUGUGCUCUAAUAAGUCUCUGUGAUAAGCCUGUAUGUCAAAAAUCAAGUGCUGAGCAUACAAACAAAGUCAAAAAGUUCACAUGACCUUUUUAUCAAAACAUGGACAGGCAUGAUUCAUGUUAAAUCUAAUUAACUUCUUCCUAAUCUGCUUUGCAGAGGUGAAUUUUAGCUUCAAAUGCUGAAGACAUGGAGAAAAAAAUAAAUAGUGUCAAAUUUACAUCACUGAAGUUGAAACAAACAGACAGUUUGCUCACAUACACCCAGCGGAGAAGCCAUUCAGAUUUUACAUUUCAAAACCAUAUGGUGCACCCAACUUCUCAUACUCUGGAAACUGGGGAAGAAAGCAUAUCAAUAUGCACUACCAUUAUAAGAAAAAAAGAUGAUGACAACCAGCAAACUAGGGCAAAUCUUAGUGCUGUGGUCCAGAUGCUCACAUAAACACAAACUUAAGAUGAUAUGACAAAAUAUAUAGUUUCAAAAAAAUUAUAAUUUUCUACAAAUCUUCUGAAAAUAAGGUUUUAUUGUUAUAAAAUUAUAAUUCAUUCAAUGUCAACAAGUUAGUAACUUAUCUGGAAAGAACAUGUCCCAUACAAGUCAUUGACAAUACAUAAGCAGAUACCUGAAUCACAAAAUUACGCCUUUCACAGUCCAAAAUCAUAUUAAUGCUCCAUUUAACUUUUUCCAUAAUUUUAUCCCGUACUGUGGAAAAGCUUAACUGAUCCCUAGAAGUAAACCGAUCAACUUCAUUGAACCAUAAGCAGGUGAAAAGAUUUGUAAUGGGGACAUGUUCUCUUAUAAUAACACAACCUUCUGGAACAUCUGCAAGAACGCAGUCAUAAAGAUAUAAAUAUAGAGAUAAAUGAUGGAAAACAGAAAACACUCAAUUCAACAUAAUGAAGCACAUACCACUAGUUAUUGGAAACUUAGCACUAUAGUAUGAUGUUAAGCCCUCCCUUUUAUAAAAUUCAAUCUGGUAAUCAAUGGAGGUAUUGUCAUACUUUCCAGCAGCUUUGUUAGCUUCAGCCUCUUCAAACACAUCAAAGCGCCUGUAAUGUCUUGAGAUUGCAAAAUUAGCAUUUUGGCUCCACAAGAACCUGAAAUCCAAAAAUAAAAAUAAAAUUUAACUAGUUUAAUUAUCAAAGUUGUAAAUUCCUCUGUUUAGGGUCCAGUCCAGACAUGCAAUCCAUGAUGAUCUACAAUGGAAAUGUUUAUACCAAAACUACUUUAAAAUGAAUUAAUAUAUCCAAAAGUCACAUGCAAACUUGUUCGCUGAUAUGAAACAGCAUGAUGAUGACAUAUUCAUAUCCAUGUAGCGAAAGCAUUAUUUGCUUUAUACAUGAUUUAGUUCCCAAGGGAAUGCAUAUUGAUAGGGUGAGCAAACUUCGGUCACAACCAAAAAAUAAUCAUAUCAGAUCGAACCAUGUUAAUUCAGUUUUGGUGUAAAAAGUUCAGUUUGGUACAAUUUUGUAGAAAGUUUUUCAGUUCAGUUUGUUUAUUUAGCCAAAAAAAAAAAAGAAUAGUAACUAAACUGCUGAUUUUGGCUUAUUAAAGAGGCUUGACUCAUCAUCCUUUCUCCUUGACUUAAUAAACAGGCCUAUGUUUUUAGUCUUCUAAUGCAGCAGGCCGAUAACCUUUUCCCUUGCAGGCCCACAGCCCUCUAAUAAUUGAAUUCCCUAGCACCCUUUAGAUUCUAAUCCCUUCUUGUGCCAUUUGGAACUGACUCUGUCCAUCCAUUCUCGUCUCUUGAUGCUUGACUCUGUACUUGUUGACACAAAUCCUCUCGGUGGUAACUAAGCUCUAGGGCUCUGGGUUCUGUGAUUCCUCGACCUUGCAAUCACUUGGCAUCAUGGUUUCCAUGCUCAAUGAGCACAAGAUACUCCAGAGUCCAAUUGCCAUGCAUGUGUCUCCCCAGUGAAAUUUGUUGGGAAAUUUGGUGUUUAGGCUUGGUUUGAGAUAGAAAUUUGAAGGGAACUAAGAACAUGCACAUUUGUGAUUAUUAUUUCAUUUUGUUUUCAAUUGACUUUUUACGUAUAUUGAAAACUUUCUACCAUUGGUUGUUGAUCACUUGAAUGUUCAGUUUUUUUCUUUAUUUGAAGGUUAGAAUUACAAUUGUUGGAUGAUGUAUUGCUGAAAAUAUUCAGAUAAAGCAAUUGAGUAUGAGCAUGGAUUUUUGUUAUUAGAUUGCAUAUUUCUUCUGCUUAUACCUGCCGAUCUUGUGUUUGUUGAGGGAGAGAUAACAGCAAAACUGAUGGAACGACUCGAAACUUUUUUGUUUGGAAUGACUUUAUUUUCUUUGUACUUUGGUUCAAUUCUCAUAAUUUUAAAUUUUCAUUUUUCGGUUACAUCAAUUCAGUUUGAUAUUGAAACAACUGAUUGCACACCCGUAUCUAUUGGUUGGAUUUAGGAUUUCAAAUUGGAGAUUCCAAGUUGAUGUGUUUUAUGAAAUGAGGGUGGACUACCCCAUAUCAAGUAGAAAGGUGGAUAAUUUACAUAAAUGAUACACCAACUUAGGGUGUGUAACAGUAAAGUACAUAGACUUUAUUUAUUUUGUAACAUAAAACCCUUCAACUUCUAUUUUAAGUAACAUAAAACUCCAUUUCACCCGCAAUAGCAAGUUUCUAAGUUACUUUGUUGCAUGACACUUGUUAAAUUAAACACAUAUUUAUAUUUUCUAUCUCAUCUCUAAUAUUUCUUUUCAAAGAAUAGUUUGUCUUUAUGAGCAGUUCAGUGGCCUUUUUGCUUAAUUAACUCUAAGUUAUUUGGAGUCAAAGUGCUGGUUAUGUUGAGUGCGAACUCAGCAAGCUUAUCCAAGCCCGAGUACAAACAAAAGGGGGUGAAGCUUGAUGUACGAGGGAGACUAAUCAGAGCAUGAAAUAGGAAACUCAGCUGGGUUCAAUUUGUUUAUGACCCUAAAAAUUAUGAUAAAAGCCUCAAAUGUCAAGCAUUAACCUUAAAAUACUAACAGGCAGUUGACAAAAUUUCAUAAUCAAGCCUAGUUAUUCGAUCCAAAUAGCAAGAAAAAACAUUUGAUGCUUAUCAAAUUGAUGUCCCAAGAAAUUUAAAAGAAAUAUGCACGAAGUUGGGAAGUGAAAGUAAAAGUGUGAAAAACAUAUCUCGAUGAUUAUUCAUGACCACUAAACAAAGCAAAUUCAAACAGAAAAUGGGUUGUACCUCUCAAGAACUUGAUAGGGAUCCACAACAAGCUGGAGUUUUCCAUCAAUCCAUAUGGAAUAUCGAACAUUGGGUAAGAUCCUAUGCAACAGAAGCUUUGGGACCUGCCCAUUUCCAUGACAGAGCAACAACAUCCUUCCCUCUUAGUACAAUAACACAAGGUUUUGAAAAUCAAUUCAUAAAAUUAAAAAUGACUUUUAGCACAAAUAAGUGUUUUAGAAUUUAAAUAGAUCAAAAUGAAAAGCUAUAAGGUGAUCAAUUGCCAGAAAAUUGAACAUCUGUUGCUAUGCUAGGAUUUGUAUUAACAAUUUUUUAUUACCCACCUAGAUAUCAGCCAACUAUAAACGAAUUACUCAAAAGAAAACCUGGCUUCUUCAUUUUAAACAAUAUAUAAGAAACAGGAAACAGGAAGAAGAAAAUAAUAAUUCUCGUUUUAAUACUUUCACAAUCUGGAGUGUUAGGUCGACCCAAAGAUUUUAAGCAUUCAAUCAUUCUCAAGAAAGAAGAGAGAGAGUCCAGAUCAUUGCAGGCUUUGCAGACAAACAAAUAUCUACUCUUCUUUAGUUAUGCUACAGUCAUACAUGUACUUUACAUGCACUACCUGAUAUCUACUUACUUGGAAUGGAAAUCAACAAAGGCAGUCCAGUAGCUGUGAGCCUGCCCAAACCAAUAUAUGUAUUUUCCAAAGAAGCACCUAAAUGUCCAACACACAAGUCCUUAUGGCCAUGGACUGUUAUUUAAAAAGAAAAAAUUUCAAAAACCACAAACCUAAGAAGAAGUUUCCAAUUUUAACAUGAGCGCCACAAGAAGUCAUUCUAUGUGUUGAGGUCCUUUUUUAUUUUUUUUUUCUUGAUUAGUAACCCAUUCUGUUUUCCUUUUAUUUUUAUUUUUUUAAAUUUUUCUUGCUAAUAACAUUUUAUUUCCCUUUAUAUCCAGGCAUGAUAGACAAUAGCAGCAAUUUCUAGUAGGAAUGAGCAGCUAGAGAGAAUAGUGGCAAUCCAAAAGGAAGGCGAGAAAUGCAGCUGUCUGACAUGUGAUUCAUGAGAGCUGAGGUAAGUUACAUCAAGAAGAAUUUAUCAGAUAAUAAAAGGGAGUAGAGAGUCUAAUCAUCCAUUGAAAGAGUUCCUGGGCCAAGGAUCCUUUUUGGAAUUCCUUUGAUUUUUUCUUUUUGUUUUCCAUAUUAAAAAAAUUACUUUAUUGAGAGAGAUUCUCCAGAAAAGGCUGUUGAAAUGUUGCUGCAAGUCUAUUAAUCUCCAAUUGGAAUGAGAAAUAAACACAACUCCAAAUCUCAUUCUCUCUCAAACUUACUUUUUAAAUUCCCAACUCUAACAGAAUUAUAAUGCAGGCAUACAUGCAGACAUACGCAUGCACGAUGUGUAUAGAAACACCCACUUCAGGUAACCUGCGUGUUGCAAGCAAUCCCUGCCCCAGCUUUGAUGCCUAAAGAAAUUUAAGAAAGAUACAUCAGAAAGAGGCAAAUCAACAAAACUGAAGUAAACUGAGUUACCUUUCCAUUACGUCUUGUGUCAUUGUAAGGAAUGUUAUGGACAACAAUAAUCCUCCAUAAUCCAACCUUCAUACUGCUAUCCAGGACAGUAGAAUUCUUCAUAUAUGUCUCUGUCUCUUCAUCAACAAACAUGUAGAAAGGAACAUUUUUCCUUGAUGCUUCACUAAUGUUCUUGGGCUGUUGGAUUAUGUCAUAGUUCCCUGGAAAAGAAGCAACAAUAAGGAAAGUGUGCAUAAAACAAGAUUUUAGUAUACUGGCUUAUGCACAAGCACAACCAUACCAAAUAUAGCUGAUACAACAAUGACUUCAUGAAACUGCUCCAACUCCAUAAGAUCAGCUUCAUCAAUAUCAAAUCCAGUCUGGUGACCUGGUUUACGUCCUUUGACAAAUCUGAUAAAAGAAUAUGCAUCAGAAGAUAGACACAUAUAUCAUAAAUAACUUGAAUUUGUCACAACAUAAUAUAUUCCUCUAAAAGUUUACAUUAAACAAAAAUUCUUGCCAAAAAAAAAGAUGAAGAAGGAGAAGAAGCAAAAUAGACAUUACUACGAAAACAAAAGGACUGACCUAGUGGAUUAAUCCUUAAAUUAUUGAAUGGUUAAGUAGAUUUGGCUUGAUAGGAGCAAGGCUGGUCAAGAAAGGGUUCACCUUCACCCCCUUGACCUUUCUUGAUGCACUUGGUCAGCCCAUAUGUCUUUAGGAGGCGGAGGUAGUGGGCUUGAACUUUAAACAAAAAUUUGUCCACUCCUCAAGAUUGUGCGCCGUGUCAUAUCAUCAAAGACUCUCAAAAUCACAUUCCCUAUAUAUAACCCCUUUAUUUCCCUUUUCUGGGUUAUUGGGAUCAACCUUGGAAAUCCCAGCCACUCUCUCCCUAAAAAAAUCCUUCAAACCUUUCAUGUCAACCACCAACCAAAAUUCUCUUGCACAUCAAUUUUAUCAACAUUCUCUCACUUCAUUAUCAGUUAUCUACCAACUUGCAUCCCAUUUGUUUCACCAUCCUUUACUACCUCAGAUUCCCCCUUGUAUCUCUCACUUAUAUCUUGUACAGUUGUAGUAGUCCCAACAUGCCACACAGAAAAAUGUCCAUUAAGAUUGUUUGCUCUUCCUCCCGUGCCUUUUCUUAUUUCAUUCUUUUCCCCAUGGGUGUUAUCAGUGGACAACUCUACCCUCACAUUCUUUUGACACAAGAAACCCAUAUCUACAGGAGGCACCAUAGUUCAAUGUACAACAAAGUUCAUGAAAAAUUCAUUCAGGAUGUCUCCGUACUUGUAAUUUCACUUAAGCAACAAGAUAAAAGAGAAUGGUACCUACCCACAAUGCACUGUCAUUGACUCUCGUAUAUCAAAAGAAUCACUCCUCCGCUUUAAAGAAGGAUAUCCACCAAAAUUGGAACCUCCAUGAGGUUCAGUUUUCAGUGGGUUUUCAUCAACAACAUAUGUUAGAUUCCGAAGCACUGGUGAUACUGAUGGAGAACGUGGCAUCCUAGCUCUUGCUUGCUCCAGAGGUAUGUAACAAACUGAACAGGCUGAAGGACAUACAAGAGGAACAAAACCAAAAUUAAUGUGAACAGGCUACAUACUAAAUUCAGGUAGUUUUACUGAUCUUUUUGUUUUUGACAUAGGGCCUGUUUAACAUUUUUGUUAGAGCUGCUGUCGAGAAAAGCACUUUCUUAAAAGUACUAUUUAGAAAAUAUUAAAAGAAAUUUAAAAUUAUUUUCGAGAUAUUUAGUCAUGAGAACACCAAAUAACAAAGCAGUUUUUCCAAAACUGCUUUUUUCCAACAACAUCUAAAAUGGUGCUUUUUCUAAAAAGCACUUUUCUAGCCUCCAAACUCAAUGCUAAACAGGCUCAUACUCUAUCAAGUCAAGAUGUCCACAGGUUCAUCUUUUUAGAACCACACAUAUGGAUUAGUUCUUCAAGCUACUAAAAUGAUAAUGCCAAUAGUAUAUUGAUUGCAGCUUUAUGUCACUCUUACUUUAAUUAAAGUAAAGGGCAGAGUCUAGUUGUAAGAAAAUUAUUUAUAGCUUUUAAUAUAUUCAUAUCAAAAAGUCAAGAAGUUAUUUUUUUCUCACAGAUUCAUGCACCAGUAGUAACUCAUACUUGGGGUGCAGUACAAUCUAUUAAUCAUGCGCAGAUAAUUAAAACAAGAUGAUGAAGAGCAACCACCAUCAAGAAUCUCAAGACUUACGACGUGGUCCAAGCUGUCUUCCAACAGGUGGAGGGGGAGGAGGGAGUGCAAAUUUGUUGCAUGGAUGUUCUGAUGAACCACUAGCUGCACCAGCAUGUUGAUGGAGAGGAGAAUAAUCACUCAUUUUAAAUUUUAGCACCGUGUGAACAUCAAGUGAAGGGUCAUUUGAUUCUUUAGCAUUUGAAUUUGUGCUUUCUGUUGCAUCAUCAUACAAAAGUAUAAACUAAAAUGCAGUGAAUAACCUAAUAAGAAAUACCAUGACAUCCUAGGUGAAUGGGGAAACAAAUUAAUAGGAUCUUUUCAUUUUGGGUUGAUGGUUAUUCUAAUCAAGCUGCAUUUCCAUAUGCAUUGCUGCCAAUAGUUAAAUGAGAAAAUAAGAAUUCCCUCUGUCUGCUUUCCCAUGAAGAACUUGAAUCAGAAUUCAUAAUAUUUGUCGGGAAAAAAAAAGCUACUAGCGAAUGAUGGUACCCAAUGUGUGGUCCUGAAAAGGGUAACAUAGAUAGUCCUGUCUUUAGGCAUGCUGAAUUCCCAUUCAGAAUCUCAGGAAUUUUGGCAUGACCCUACAUAUCAAAAAAAAAAUCGUGUUCCAAGUUUAGAAUAAUUCAAUGAGGCUGGAAAUGGAAGUGCUGGCUGAUUCCUCUAUAAAUUCAAGAAACAAGGUCCUAGGUUUGGUUCACUGUUUCACAUAGAAAUAGAACAAUUAAACCCCUUAUAUAUUCUGAUGCAAGAAAGAAUAGCCAAAUUAUUCAAAUUAUAAACUUUCCACCAAAAAAAAAAACAUUUGGUAACCAAUUCAAUACUAUAUCUAAUUUUUCACUUCAACCACGGGACUAGACUCAUUUUUGCUUUCACCAAUGUGUAAAGAACAAACAAUGAAAACUAAUAAAUAGAUGCCUAAUCCUUCAUGAACAGAUUAUUUGCUUGCUACUUUUAAUCAAUUGUCAUCUAUGACAAAAGUGAACUACAUCAGAACAAAGACACGCCCAAAUUAUACAAAUUUGAUGCAAAAGCAAUAAUAUACAUGUUUAAAUCAAGUUAGUGCUCUUGCUUAUAACAAAAUAGCAAACAUGUUUAAAUCAAACCUUUGCUAACCGUAAUGGAACCCCAAAUGAAAACUAGGAGAGCAAGUGCAACCAAAAGUAUCAUUGCAACCCUUCUUUGCCCCAAGUACCCACAAAUAACAGGGAGAACGCGCUCUUUCUCCCUCAGACUUGGUAUAAGCAUCUUUGAAGAAGAUUUCCGUGCAAUGGCUGGAAAUUUUGCUGAAGACUGUGAUGACCCAUAGCUUCCUCGUAGACUCAAUGACCUUCCAGUCAUUGUACUUCCAAGCACACAACCACACUUUUCAUCUCCUUUAUUACAAAACCACUCUCAAAAACUAUAUUGUGAAAACCAUGUCCACAUUAGUCAUAGAAAUCAUAACCUGCUUCUUUUGUAGUUCAAUUAUUUGAAUACAAAUAAUUUCACUUUGCAAUCCCCUUUUUUCUGUCUGUGUCUACAAGCUCCUUGUCAUUCACAUAAAAGACACCCGCAAUUCUAUAUCAAAUCAAUCUCACGAGGUAAAAUCUACUUCGCUCAAAUCUAAAAGCUGUGAUAUCAGAAGGAAUGCUCAAACAAGAAAGAAAACAAAAACCUUGUGUUUCAUAAAAACUGGGGCCCAAACAGAAAACUUGAGAACAAAUUAGUUCCCAAGACUGAACUCGGUGCUUAAAUUUCACUCUACUAACAAGUAUAUAGUCUCAAAUCCUAAAAUAGCUCCUGACUAUCGAAAUGCAAUCAAAUCUCUUUACAAAAUCAAGCAAGCAAACUCGAUUAUUAUUCACAUUAAACAGAAAACUCCAUAUGCAAACCAGUGAACCACAUUUCAUUUGCUUCAAAAUCCGGUCUCCAUCUAUAAAACCAAUCGUAAAAAUACCAGCAAAAAAUCAUUCCAUACUCCGAGCAAAAACGUUAACGACAAAACCACCUCGAAACCGCAUUUUUAUUUCUAUGAAAAUCCAAUGUCUUACAAAAACUCCAAUCAAAGAAAUUCCAGUCAAACUGAUUCCUGAAUUGAAUCACAAUCUCGAACUCUACAAGCAACACUUCAAAUCCACCAGAACCCAAGUACAUUCACUUGUUUAAAUCAAACACCCAACUAAAAAAAACACGCAUAAAGAAGGAAAGCAGGAUAUCUAUCAAUCAAAUAACACACCCCAAAAAUCCAGAGAUGGGUUUGCCUCUGACAACGCGCUUCGAAAUCCCCAAAUUUCAGAUUUGAAUACUAGUAUAGCUCUGAAUUGGGUUCGUAAACAUUCAUUUUCCGUUCAAACUCUACAGUGAGCGUUGUCCGUCUUUGGAAUGCCAAUGUUUUCUGUUCGAUACAAUGCAAAAAGAACAAAUGAAAGUGUGGCACUUGAAAGUUCAGGUUGAGGAUGAACUUGUCAGUUGAGAGACAUGUAAUUUUUGCAUUUCCUUUUUUGCAGAACUACGAUUUAUUCGGAGUAUCUUCCUUAUUAACGAUUCUAUCUUUACAUUUUAAAAUAAAAAUGUGAAAUGCAUGCCAGUAUUUUAAUAUUUUUAUUUAUUAUAUAUUUUAAUUUUAAUCAUAUUUUACUAAAUAUUUAAAUUUUAAAAAAUAUUAUUUUAAAUAUUUAAUUUUUUAAAAAAUACUUUUCAAUAUUUAAAUUUUUUAAAAAAUUAUUUUUAAAUAUAAAUUUAAAAUCAUAAAUUCAGUCAAAAAAAAGUGCACAUAGAUAUUUUUGUUCUAAAAACGCAUUCCUUUGUCACACGAAUUCACAAUCACGAGUUUAUGGAAGAUAGAAUGAUUAGAAAUUAUAAUUUAAACAACUUAAAUAAAUUUGAGUUGCGAGAAAAUAAGGUUUCGGUAUUUAGAAAUUCUGUAAUUGAUGUAUUUUUUUGACAAAUUUAAAUUUUUACAGGAAAAAAAAAUCACCAAUUGUUGAUAAAGCAACCAAAGAAGAAGGAGAAAAAAACAUACAACCGUCAUUACUUUUUAUCCAUUUAUGAAAUUUUAACUUUUCUCAUUAUUUUCAAAGUUUAAAUUAGUUAAAGAAACUCAAAAUUACCUUAAUUCGCGAAGGAUAGAAAGAAAAAGAGAAUUAAAUUUGCGUAAAUAAGAAUUUUAUGCAAUGUUGAGAAUGCUUUUUGCGGCAAUGGUAGCAUACAACUAAGCUAUUUCUCUCCUCUCUGGUAUGGAACAAAGAGAAUUUUUCUUUUUUUUCUUUUGAGAAGUUCUGGAUUGUGAAUUGUCCUCUCUCCUCUAAAUAGGACGUAAAUAUUAACUUUUUGGUAUUUUAUUGAGUAUUUGCCUAUGGAGUUUAAUUGAAGGUCUUGAUUUUUUGUUGUGAUUUAUUUGUCUUAUUUUUUUCUAUUAAUUUAUGUAGUGUUUUUAUAAGUUUAAGACAACCAAUUUUGUGCUACAUUUGAGUUCAUGUCCGACAAAGAUUGGUCCAGAGAUGGUAAGAGUUAAAGCGUAAAUGAAUUGCCUGAAACCAAGCUUGUAGGAAGUUUUUCUGAAAGGACACUCUAGAGGAAAAUAAAUAGUUUAGAUGGAAGGCUAAGCUUCCAAGUUUCCCUGCGGAAUGAUUCUAGAUACUGUUAAGAACUUGGUUCAGCAGCUGCAAGGUUUGCUUGUUUAGAAGCUUUCCUAAGGCGUCUAGCAAUGAAAUAUACUGAUUUAACAGUGCAUCUUCCAUGUCUUUCAUGGUAUUAAACUAACCUAUCGUCUUGCCUCCAAAUACUAACAAGGAGAGAUAAAAUAAAAUCUGUAUUUUUCUCCAUAAAAUUAUUUUUUAUUCAAAUGGUGUCUCAACGACGAAACAAUUCCAGUGGUAACAACAAUUGAAUAUUCAUCAGGCAUUUUCUAACUACUGGCUGAUUUUGGUGUAGUUUCGAAUCUAAAACACAAGUUUGAUAUGCUUUUAGUUUGAAAAAUAUUACUUUCCAAAGGUAGUUAUUGUUUGAUACAACUAACAAAAAUUGGACAAAAAUUUGGAAUAUUUAUUUUUCUUUUAUGAAAAUGGGAAAGGAAAAAGAGCAUUGGAUUGUAAAAAUAAGAAAUUUGAAAAGUGACUAUUGAUUCUAAAGCAGUGGGUUUUGUGCAAAAUGGGUUGCAUUUGCUGUAAACCCUCUGUAAUUGAGGAUAGCAAAGACAACCCAAGAGAACGGCUCACUAGCAAGGUCUCAUCAGACUUGCGGGCAUCCAAGGCCACCUCUUUUAGGAGAGAGGAAGCAUAUGGAGAAAAAGAUCGAUAUGAUGAUGGAAGGGCAAUGUUGAUUGAUAAGCAGUCAAAUGUUUCAGUUAGAUUGCAUGGAGGUGAAUACGUUGAUAGGAAGAGGAAGAAGAUGGAAAAUGCUGUUGCUCAACAUCCAGGGAUGGGUAGUAUACCAAAAGCGACUGAAGGGGAGCAGGUCGCAGCAGGAUGGCCUUCCUGCUGGCUGCAGUGGCUGGAGAAGCAAUCAAGGGAUGGCUGCCACGGCGUGCAGAUUCUUUUGAGAAGCUGGAUAAAGUAAGCUUUUUCGUUUGAUCUUGCAUGUUAAGUUCUUUUUAACUGUAUAUCAUAUUAUAAUAUACCAAUGAUUGACCUUUUAUUUGUGUUAAUUGACGUAGUUGAAGUUAGUUCAGAUUAGAGUUUUAUUUUGAAUAAAUGCUGCUCUAUUGUAAUCCAAAUUCAUGUGUUAAUUCAAAAACUGAAAGGUUAAAGAACAUGCCUCUUGGAGCUCUUUGAGAGAAAAUCACAAUUGCAAGUGAGAACGAGAACCUUUUUACUAUAAUAAGUGCGUCCUAGGACAUGUCCCUUAUUGGUGCGGCCACAACUGGCUAUGUUGGAUGGGUAUGGUGGCAAAUUUUUGAUAAAGAUAGGUUGAGAAAAAGUAUUGAAGUAAAGCUUAUUGCCAUCCAGUGGCUUUAAGCUUGUAGAUUUUUUUCCCUUCUUGAUACACCAGCUGGUGGAAAGGUACAAAAGUAAAAGCAAUAAUAUUUUAAACUUUUACUGAUCCAAUGUGUAAUUGUAACAUGCUUACAGGUGGACUUUCUAAAGUUGGAGACUCUUGUGUUCGUAGUAGAGUUUUGGUUGACCAUUGAAUGACUUUCAAUGUUUAAAUAAUUUACAAUACAGAAGCAUGGGGGAUCCCCCUGUUAUGCAAUUAGCAAGAAGUAAUUAGUGAUACUCACCCAGAUGCUUAAAGGUUUAAAAUGUGCUGAUGAGUAGUGUAUCUUGUUUCUCAAAGAUAUUUACAUAGUAAGGUUGAAGGUCAAUCUGCACAUUGGGGGAGGGGGGGUUAUAAGUUUUGACCUGUGAACUCAACAUGAAUGAGCUUUUUCAUGCUUUCCUUGACUAGCUUAAAGACAUGGCAAUAACAGUGUUCUGCCACAGGGGGUUGAUCUGCUAAUCUGAUUUAACAUGUUUUAUUCUUCGUGCCAUGUUGAAUGCUUUCUCCUUUUUCCCUUAUCUACUGUUUUCUUCACAUUAAAUUACCUGGUGUUUUUUUCUUGUUCUUAAUUUGCUGAUACUUAUUUUAAUGCAGAUUGGCCAGGGAACUUACAGUAAUGUUUAUAGAGCUCGUGACCUUGAUAAAAAGAAGAUUGUUGCAUUAAAGAAAGUAAGGUUUGAUAAUCUGGAACCUGAGAGUGUUCGGUUUAUGGCCCGGGAAAUUCACAUAUUGCGGAGGCUUGACCAUCCUAAUGUGGUAAAACUUGAGGGCCUAGUUACAUCCAGAAUGUCUUGCAGUUUGUACCUUGCAUUUGAGUACAUGAAGCAUGAUUUGGCUGGGCUUGCCUCACUUCCUGGUCUGAAGUUUACAGAGCCACAGGUACUGACAAAGCUUUUUCAUAGGGAAUUAUGUCUGUCAUAUGCUUGUUUGCAUUUCCUCCCAGCAAUAAGGUCUGACUUAACUAUUUGUUGGUAGGUGAAAUGUUACAUGCAGCAACUUUUACAGGGACUUGAUCACUGCCACAGCCACGGUGUUCUACAUCGUUAUAUAAAAGGUUCCAACUUAUUAAUCGACAACAUUGGUAUCUUAAAAAUUGCAGACUUUGGUCUAGCAAGUUUUUAUGAUCCAACUCGUGUUCAACCACUCACAAGUUGUGUCCACUUACUAUGGAAUUGCUGUUGAUUUAUGGAGUGCAGGUUGCAUACUUGCUGAAUUGUAUGCUGGCAAGCCUAUUAUGCCAGGAAGAACUGAGGUAUUAUCUUCUAUUUCUUGUUUUCUUCUUUUCCAUAAAUUAUUGUCUUUUGGGGUUCUCCACCUCAGUGCCCUUCCAUUUACCCACUUAUUAUUUCUCAAGACAUUAUGCUAUAGUGCAAAUAAUUAUGUGGUCAAAAUUUACUUAAAGAAGCUAAUAUACUUGAGAAUGGAAAAAAUGAGAGGAGUUUGUCUAGGCAAUUUUCAGCCUUUAGCAUUUUUUGUUGAAAAAGAGCAAACAAAAGCAAAACUAGAAAUUAGAUGAUUAUCUUAUGAUGCAUGUUUUGUUUGUGCUUUUCUAUGUUUAGCACGUCUCAGUUUUUUAUGUCAUAAUGUUUUGGUUUGUCUCCAUCUUGUAGGUGGAGGAACUGCAUAAAAUUUUCAAGCUGUGUGGCUCUCCUUCUGAAGACUACUGGAGAAAAUCAAAACUGCCUCAUGCGACUAUCUUUAAAUCUCAACAACCUUAUAAACGCUGUGUUGCAGAAACAUUUAAGGAAUUCCCUGCAUCAGCUUUGGCACUUAUGGAGACCCUACUUUCUAUUGACCCUGUAGAUCGUGGAACUGCAGCUUCUGCUCUGAACAGUGAGGUAUGAAAUAUAAUUGGAAAUAUUUUAGAAUUUCUCCAAUUAAUGGAAACUUCAUUCCAACUUUUUAUGGGGUAUCUUUGCCUGGUGCAUCCUCUAGGCUAUAGAGGGUAGGAGCAGCAGUUUAUUGGAUCUUCCUAUGCUGCAUCAAGCAGUUAAUUGAAUAUUGUAUGGACUCAGCAGCUAUUUUCAUUCAGACUCCCGUUUUCCAGUUCACCUUUUAUCUUUGCACUAUAGGCAUUGCAUUCCNNNNNNNNNNUUUUUUUGAAGAACAAUUGGAAUAAGAUGUGAUGACUACAUAACUAUCUAAAUCCCAUUAUUUUCUCUUCCUUUUUCGCUCUCUUUAAUGUUUAUGUUCGUCAUCAUGAUUGCCAUUUGCAAGUACAGCUGAACCUUUUCAUUUCUUCCAUUUGCAUUUGAAAACAUAUCCAAAGUUGAGAGAUUGCAAGUGAAAAUUAGUCUAGAAAAUUGGGGCCAAUAUGGAUUUAUGCAGUUUCAUAUUGGUUAGUGAUAACCGCUGGAUUUCACUACCUCGGUCUAAGGUCAGGCCCAAGAUGACGGCCCAUGAUGUGAAGGUUUCUAAGUCUCCCGCAUGAGCCAGGUCCAGCCCGCUCAGCUUUAGGACCGAGCUCCACUUAGAUUUCUCAAUCAGGUCGGCCCAGCCUUUUCGGCCCAAUGAUCAGACCCCUCUAGGCUCAGCCUUAAUCUCAUCUUCCAGUCCAGCCCAGAAGAGGGAAUGUGGCCAGUCCAUCCGCCUGGCGGGUCCUUCUGCAUGCAUGCCAGAGGAGAAUUAAAUGGUCGUUACGCAUGGAACAGAGAUCUGAUACUCUCGUACGUUCGUAUCAGUAUGGCAGAGACGGGUAGCCCAAUGGAAGCAAGGCCAUUACACGUCACUAACAGACAGAGAAAAGGAAUAAAAGGAGAGGAACACCCUCCUCUCAAACUAAGCUUACAGAACCAUUUGUAAACCUUAUUUUCUGGAUCGCAAAUCAUCAGUUAGGAACAAUUUGUAUCAAAUCCUUUAUUCAUAUAUGUAUAUGCACAAUCAGACAUAAAUAGCUAUUGUUGAGGUUGGUAGUUGGUGGUUGGUACUUAUUGAUAAGGUUAUAUUAUUGUUGAUAGACCUCGACUUCUUUGGCAUAUGGUACAGUUCUUUACAACAGAACCUCUUCCUUGUAAUCCUUCAAGCCUGCCCAAGUAUCCUCCCAGAAAUGAGUUUGAUGCAAAGCUACGGGAUGAGGAAGCCAGAAGGUAAUGACUGUAAAAAAAUCAAAAUGUUGUAUAUCUGAAUGGAGUAAAUGUUUAUUUAAUCAGCAGUUGCUGACCUGCAAUUUCUGACAUCAUAAAUUCCUACUUUGUACUUUAAAGGAAAUUUGUAUUUGCAAAUUUUGGCCAUUGUGGUUCUCGGCGUUUUCAAAAUGUAGAAGCGGCCUCCAUUGAAACUAGGAUGGUCCUCCUUUAAUAUCUGAUUUUAGGGCUGUGAUUGAUGUUAUUUUGAGAUAGAAUUAGGCUGCAUUGGUCUGACGCGCUGCCUUGUUGGUUUGUAUUCAUUAUGAGUUUGCUUGAUGAGCUAGUGAUCUGUUUUCCUGUGCAUCCACCACUUCUAAAGUCAUGACCAGUUAGGACAGUGUUGCUGAUGUUCUUGCUUUCGUCUUCAUUAACAAACAAGAAGCAACUCGACCCAAGGUCCAGCGACCUGGUAUUGAAAGAAGAGGAACAAGAGAAUCCAGAGCAAUCCCAGCACCCAAUACCAAUGCUGAGUUAGUCUUAUUGAAAAUUUUGAGAGAAAUUUUUUAUUUUAUUUCAAUUGGAUUGAUCUUUAUGCACAAAAAAUCAACCUAAAUUAAGAAUAUUUACAAUAAGAAUAAAAUUCCUUAAAUCAAGCCUAAUUAGGAUUUCAAAAAUUUAUGUGGUCAACACUCCCCUUUAAGUUGGUCUAUAGAUAUCAUACGUGCCCAACUUGCAAACCAAGGAAUGAUAAGUUUUGUUUCUGAGCUUUUUGAUAAACACAUCAGCUAGCUAUUCAUCGAAAGUCACAUAAUCUAAUCUCAAGACACCAUUUAUUAACUUCUUUUUAAUAAAGUAUUGAUCUAUCUCUAUGUGUUUUGUUCGGUUAUGUUGAACUGGAUUGUGAACUAUACUCAUGGCAGUAUUAUUGUCACGGUACAAGAGGAGUUUGACCCUCUCCAGUAGUUUCAAUUCCCCCAACAAUCUCUGCAACCAUAGGAAUUUACAAACACCUUAUGUUAUUGCUCUAUAUUUUACCUCGGCACUUUAUCGAGUAACAAUACUUUACUUUUUGUUUAUUCAAGUAACAAUAUUUCCUCCCACAAGUGUACAGUAUUCACUAGUCGACCUUCUAUCAUCAAGAGAUUCAGGCCAAUUUGCAUUUGUGAAUGAAUGUGUGUGAAGAUGACCGUGUUUAGAGAAUAGGAAAUCUUUCCCAGGAACAGACUUCAAGUAUUGCAAAAUGCGAAAAACAGAUUGCAUAUGAGACUCACGAGAAUCAUGCAUAAAUUAACUGAAUACAUAUGCUAUGUCUGGUCGGAAAUACGACAGAUAAAUUAGUCUACCUACCAAUCUCUGAUAUUUGUCCAUAUCCACUGAUUCACCAAUCCUGCUUGUAGCUUGUGAUUGCUCUCAAUAGGAGUUUCUACUGGUUUGCAACCUAACAUACCAGUUUGUGCUAAAAGAUCCAGAAUAUAUUUUUUUCUGAGAAAUAAAGAUUCCCUUAUUUGACUUGGCAACCUCGAUUCCCAAAAAAUAUUGCAGUUUUCCUAGAUCUUUAAUUUCAAACUCCUGAACUAAAAGCUUUUUUAUUUGAGUCAUCUCUUAGUGUCAUCCUCUGUCAUUACUAUGUCAUCAAUAUAGACUAUAAAAAGAGUAAUUUUACCCUUGUGAUGUCUAAUAAAUAGGGUAUAGUCAGCAUUGCUUUGUUGAUAGUUAAAGAAAAUCAUAGCUCUACUGAAUCGAUCAAACUAGAAUCUGGGUGACUGUUUUAACCCAUGCAAAGCCUCUUUUAGCCUGCACAUCUUUUCUUGUGUUUUUUCAUCAGCAAAUCUAAGAGGGAUUUCCAUAUAAACUUUCUCCUCCCAGUCUCCAUAGAGAAAUGCAUUUUCACAUUAAAUUGUUGUAAAUCCCAAUCAAGGUUGACAACGCAAGAUAACAAUAUUCUGAUUGAGUUCAUUUUGGCAACUUGUAACAGCCCGGACGUGAUCCCCGGCACUGUUACCGCUCACGGCCCAGGGCUAUCCCUCGCCUGGCCUCUUGCCACCUCGGGCUUUCCACUGGCGUCGUGAGCAGCUCUUAACAUCCCUUCACCCUCACGGGUUCCAGGCAGGAUUUGUCCCUCGGGGGAGCCAUGACGGCCCGCCCUAGCCCGAGUGGAUUUGGCCCAAUUCCUUCCUCUGGGAAUUAGGNNNNNNNNNNNNNNNNNNNNNNNNNNNNNNNNNNNNNNNNNNNNNNNNNNNNNNNNNNNNNNNNNNNNNNNNNNNNNNNNNNNNNNNNNNNNNNNNNNNNNNNNNNNNNNNNNNNNNNNNNNNNNNNNNNNNNNNNNNNNNNNNNNNNNNNNNNNNNNNNNNNNNNNNNNNNNNNNNNNNNNNNNNNNNNNNNNNNNNNNNNNNNNNNNNNNNNNNNNNNNNNNNNNNNNNNNNNNNNNNNNNNNNNNNNNNNNNNNNNNNNNNNNNNNNNNNNNNNNNNNNNNNNNNNNNNNNNNNNNNNNNNNNNNNNNNNNNNNNNNNNNNNNNNNNNNNNNNNNNNNNNNNNNNNNNNNNNNNNNNNNNNNNNNNNNNNNNNNNNNNNNNNNNNNNNNNNNNNNNNNNNNNNNNNNNNNNNNNNNNNNNNNNNNNNNNNNNNNNNNNNNNNNNNNNNNNNNNNNNNNNNNNNNNNNNNNNNNNNNNNNNNNNNNNNNNNNNNNNNNNNNNNNNNNNNNNNNNNNNNNNNNNNNNNNNNNNNNNNNNNNNNNNNNNNNNNNNNNNNNNNNNNNNNNNNNNNNNNNNNNNNNNNNNNNNNNNNNNNNNNNNNNNNNNNNNNNNNNNNNNNNNNNNNNNNNNNNNNNNNNNNNNNNNNNNNNNNNNNNNNNNNNNNNNNNNNNNNNNNNNNNNNNNNNNNNNNNNNNNNNNNNNNNNNNNNNNNNNNNNNNNNNNNNNNNNNNNNNNNNNNNNNNNNNNNNNNNNNNNNNNNNNNNNNNNNNNNNNNNNNNNNNNNNNNNNNNNNNNNNNNNNNNNNNNNNNNNNNNNNNNNNNNNNNNNNNNNNNNNNNNNNNNNNNNNNNNNNNNNNNNNNNNNNNNNNNNNNNNNNNNNNNNNNNNNNNNNNNNNNNNNNNNNNNNNNNNNNNNNNNNNNNNNNNNNNNNNNNNNNNNNNNNNNNNNNNNNNNNNNNNNNNNNNNNNNNNNNNNNNNNNNNNNNNNNNNNNNNNNNNNNNNNNNNNNNNNNNNNNNNNNNNNNNNNNNNNNNNNNNNNNNNNNNNNNNNNNNNNNNNNNNNNNNNNNNNNNNNNNNNNNNNNNNNNNNNNNNNNNNNNNNNNNNNNNNNNNNNNNNNNNNNNNNNNNNNNNNNNNNNNNNNNNNNNNNNNNNNNNNNNNNNNNNNNNNNNNNNNNNNNNNNNNNNNNNNNNNNNNNNNNNNNNNNNNNNNNNNNNNNNNNNNNNNNNNNNNNNNNNNNNNNNNNNNNNNNNNNNNNNNNNNNNNNNNNNNNNNNNNNNNNNNNNNNNNNNNNNNNNNNNNNNNNNNNNNNNNNNNNNNNNNNNNNNNNNNNNNNNNNNNNNNNNNNNNNNNNNNNNNNNNNNNNNNNNNNNNNNNNNNNNNNNNNNNNNNNNNNNNNNNNNNNNNNNNNNNNNNNNNNNNNNNNNNNNNNNNNNNNNNNNNNNNNNNNNNNNNNNNNNNNNNNNNNNNNNNNNNNNNNNNNNNNNNNNNNNNNNNNNNNNNNNNNNNNNNNNNNNNNNNNNNNNNNNNNNNNNNNNNNNNNNNNNNNNNNNNNNNNNNNNNNNNNNNNNNNNNNNNNNNNNNNNNNNNNNNNNNNNNNNNNNNNNNNNNNNNNNNNNNNNNNNNNNNNNNNNNNNNNNNNNNNNNNNNNNNNNNNNNNNNNNNNNNNNNNNNNNNNNNNNNNNNNNNNNNNNNNNNNNNNNNNNNNNNNNNNNNNNNNNNNNNNNNNNNNNNNNNNNNNNNNNNNNNNNNNNNNNNNNNNNNNNNNNNNNNNNNNNNNNNNNNNNNNNNNNNNNNNNNNNNNNNNNNNNNNNNNNNNNNNNNNNNNNNNNNNNNNNNNNNNNNNNNNNNNNNNNNNNNNNNNNNNNNNNNNNNNNNNNNNNNNNNNNNNNNNNNNNNNNNNNNNNNNNNNNNNNNNNNNNNNNNNNNNNNNNNNNNNNNNNNNNNNNNNNNNNNNNNNNNNNNNNNNNNNNNNNNNNNNNNNNNNNNNNNNNNNNNNNNNNNNNNNNNNNNNNNNNNNNNNNNNNNNNNNNNNNNNNNNNNNNNNNNNNNNNNNNNNNNNNNNNNNNNNNNNNNNNNNNNNNNNNNNNNNNNNNNNNNNNNNNNNNNNNNNNNNNNNNNNNNNNNNNNNNNNNNNNNNNNNNNNNNNNNNNNNNNNNNNNNNNNNNNNNNNNNNNNNNNNNNNNNNNNNNNNNNNNNNNNNNNNNNNNNNNNNNNNNNNNNNNNNNNNNNNNNNNNNNNNNNNNNNNNNNNNNNNNNNNNNNNNNNNNNNNNNNNNNNNNNNNNNNNNNNNNNNNNNNNNNNNNNNNNNNNNNNNNNNNNNAUUUAGUUUUAACUCAUCAAAUCAAACCCCCCUCUUUUAAUUACUUGUUAUUUACUUGACCUAGUCAUUAUUAGGAAAAUCAUUAGUGUCAAUUCCCUGUGGUUCGACCCUAUUGCCACUAUCUACAAGUUUAUUGUUGAUUGUUUAAUAGGUUUAUUUUUGACGGCUUCGACAACCGCCUAUCAGCAACAGGAGCAAAUGUCUCCUAGUAAUCCACUCCAUAGGUUUGAGUGUAUCCCUUAGUCACUAGUCUAGCCUUUAAUCUUUCAAUUGAUCUAUCUACUUUGUGUUUCAUAGUGAACACCCAUUUGCAGCCAACAAGUUUCUUCUCAGAUUGGAAAGUAAUAAGCUCCCAGAUCUCAUUUUUUGCCAGUGCUUUCUCUCUUCAAUCGUUACUUCCUUCCAUUUAGAAUAUGUAAGAGUUACCUUUCAAUCCUGUGUAAUAGACACAGAGGAAAUAGACAAAGCAAAUACUAUAGAAUUGAGACAAAGACUCAUAGGAGAGAAAGUUAGAAAUAUAGUGUUUUGUGUAAAAUCUAACUUUUUUGUUGAGUAAUUGGUUUAUUUAGAUCAUCAAGGUGCUCAAAGUUUAGGGAUAACUCACCAAAUGGAAAAGAAAGAUUCAUGAUACUAAGUAGGCUGCACAAUGACUUUUUUUAUUUUCUUUUGUCUCUUCUUGAGCAUCUUCUUAAAUCUGAUUUAUCUAAAUGACCAAUUUAGUCACCGAUAGUCUCUUUUUUUCAUCUAGAUAGAAUAAUACCAAAAAGGUAGAUAUAGGGUUUUAGUAAAAAUUGAAUUUAAACUCUAAAAAUUAGGAAAAGAACUCUAAUAUCAUAAAGAAUUUUGAAAAAAAAUUUUUUUUUUAUUCCAAUUGAAUUAAUCUUAAAUUAGAAAAAUUUACAAUAAGAAUAAAAUCCUUAAAUCAAGCCUAAUUGGGAUCCCAAAUAUUUGAAUCUUCUAAUUAGAAACUUUAUAUAUUGGUCAACACAUAUCAAUGCAGGUAAAUCUUCAUAUUCCUAGUAUAUAGAUAUACACAAGGGUUUGUGAUUAUUUGGUUGUGAUGUUGGCUUGUUGGAUUUCAUUAUUCUAGUACAUGGCAGAGCUCACAAAUCUGAUGAGAGGGAAUCUAAAAGGAUCCUGGGAGGAGGGGGGAGGGGGUUUGGGGAUUUAAAAUUACAAGAACAAAAGAAGAAAAGACUCUGUUUGGGGAAGAAAAUAGUUCAUUGUAAGUUAUUCGAAAAAUAAGUUGGUGGUGGUAGCACUUGGGUAUUUUCUCUGCAUUGGUGCCCAGAGAAAAUGGGGCGGAGGGAGAAGUUCAAGGUCUGUAAUUCCUGUGUUUUAUUGGAGAUGAAGUCUAUGCAAUGUCUAACAUAGUAUAAUGCUUACACCUUUCUCCAUUUAUCUUCUUCUUUUUUUUUAGUUCAAUUUGAUGUAUUGCUUGAAUUAAGUUGUCAUAUUAAUGAGAUUGCUUUCUUCUCACAGAAAAGACAAGGUCAGUCAAAUUCUAAGAGCCGGAGUGAGCAAUUUAAUCCUCAUCCAGAAGAAAUAGCUUCUGGUUUUCCAAUAGAUCCACCUAGACCAUCACAAGCUGCAGAAUUGAGUAUCAAUCUGAAGGAACAUCAGCAUCAGAGAGCCUCGCACUCUGGGCCAUUGGUCCACCCUGCUUCUUUGGCAAAUGCUAGUAGAAACCUUGAUGAUGCUUCAGAAGUUUCUACUGGGGCCGAAUUGUCAAAUUUGUCAGGCUCAGUGGCAGCAAGAAGAAAUUUAUUAUCUGAAUACUGCAGAGAAAGGUCUGGCUCAUCGCAGCCAGAAGCUCCAAAACUAAUGGCGAGGUUUCGAUGAUCCUUAAAGGAAUAAUCCCUUUUCAAGGAUCAAAAGCAACAGUCAUAGGGCAUUGCAGGUUCUCAUAAAAAAGACGAUGGAAGAAUUAGCAAUGAUGAUCCAGCCCUUGGAAGUAUAGGAUCUCUCUCUGUGUCAUCUGUGGAAUUUCUCAUCCAAAAAUUAAAAACUUGGGACAGUUCUCUAACUGUCAAAUUUCUGUGUUAUUUUGCAACUUCUUCGUACAUAUUGUCUUCAUUUAAGCAACACAUUCAGAACAUCUAACUUUUGGAACUUCAGAUGGUUUAUUGACAUGUUCUCUCUGUUUUCCAAGUGAAUGCUUAACGACUAUUCUUUUCAUGCUUUUUGAUUGUCGACUGAUCUCUUGUUUUUGUUAUUCACUUGUAUAUUUCUUAGGUUGUCUAUGGGUAAAAAGGUCGCAAAGUUCACUAUUUUGGUGUUCACUAUUUUUGUGUUCCUCAUUUGUAUUUACUUUUCGUUCUGCCACUGUAAUUUGUCCAUUAUAUGUUGAAUUCCACAUCGGUUGUGGAAAGGGGUAAUGUGCCCCUUAUAUGAGUUAUAGGCAAUAAUCCUCCUCCUUGAGCUAGCUUUUGGGGUGAAUUAGGUCUGGCCCAAAUUUAACUUGAUAUCAGAGUCUCCCCAUCCGAUGUUGGACCUCCCAUAAAUAUGUCACGCACCAGUAAAAUUCUGGGCGUGAGGGGUGUGUUGAAUCUCACAUCGGUUGUGGAAAUUAACUUUAUGAGCUAUCCUUGUAGAGCAUUUUUUACUAGUCAUAAACUGUAGAGUAUCCGGAAAACAUGACAUUGUUUUUGGUUGUUAAAACCAUGCUUAAUUGCAGAGUAGAUUUUGAAGCUCUUGGAAAAGUGGGGUUUCUUCUCUAAUGUUGAAGUAAAUGAUACUCUUCUCUUCAUUCAAAAUUUAUUUGCAGCUGACUUGCAGACGGAUCAUUGAAUUAAUUACCUGAAUGAUGAUUAAAGACUGGCCCUCCCUUCAGCGUCUUUCUACUGAUUUAGUUUUUAUUACUUUUAAUUUUUCAUUCAAUUAAUGAAUGCCACGUCUUCUUCUUCUUUUCUUUUCUUUUUUUUCUAAAUAAGUGGGUCAAAUUUUAAUUGAAAGGAUUCCUAACAUUAGAUUUAAUUGUAAUUUGAAAAUUGACUAAAGAUUGAGAUAAAUUUUACAAUAAAAUAUUAAUGUCAUACUAAAAUAUUAAUUUAUUAAUAAUAAAAUAUAGAUUCUAAAAUUUUUAAAUAUUAUUUUUAAUAAAAAUAAUAUUAAAAAUGAAAACAAUACUAAUACUAAAAAUGAUAUUAUUUUUUAAUAUGAUAAAAUCUAAUUGACAGUUAUAAACUUAUUUAACUAAAAAAAUUAAAAUAAACUUAUUUAUGAACAUAGGGUCUACGGUCUAGCCCUCUUGAUUUCAAGUACUUAUUACAUAGGGUCUACGGUCUAGCCCUCUUGAUUUCAAAUUUUCACUAUAAAGUUAGUUUUGACAAAAAGAAAAUCUAAGCCCGAAAAUUAAGGGUCUUUUUUUAUAAUUUAGAGAGGUAUUUAAAAAAAAUAAAUAUUGAUGAUAAUUUAUAUUUAUAUUUAAUUUAAAUUUUAAAUAAAAAAUUCGAAUUUUUAUAAUUAUAAAAAAAUUAAAUUAAAUUUAUAUAAAUUAAUAAUAAAUUAUAAUAUAAUAUUUAAAGUUUUAUAUCAUUAAUAAAUAUAUAAUCUUUUAAUUUUAAUUUUAUAUUAAAAUUAAAUAUAUUUUAUAUUUAUUUAUACAAUAUUAAAUAUAUAUUAUAUUACAUAAACAUUUAUUAAAAAUAAAUUUUUAUUACAUAAAAUAUCACAUAUUAAUAAUAAAUAUUAAAGUAUUUCACUUAAUAUUUAUAUUCCAUAUUAUAAAUUUUAUAUAUUUUUAUUUUUUAUAUUUAAAAUUUUUAUUAAUAUUUUCAAUAAAAUUAUAAAAAUAUGAAUAAAAAUAAAUAAUAAAAUUAAUAAAAAAUAAUAUUAUUAUAAUAAAAAUAUAUAUUUAAAAAUUAUUUUAUUAUUCAAAUAAAAUUUUAAGAACUAUAUAUAAUUUACUAUUAAUUUAUAUAAAUUUAAUUUAAUAUUUUUUACUAUAAUUAUGAUAAAUUAAAAAAUAUUUAUUUAUUUUUAUUCGAUUGCCAUAUUCUAAAUCCAAAAAAGAUAAACCCAGUGCUUUCUCCCUCGACAUAAGGAAUCAAAUCCAGCUUCUCUUCUUCCAUGACGAUAAGACCAACUUCUCUUGUUUAAGAAAAUUAUUUUCUCUCUCCUUUAGGAUUUUCUCCUCAAAUUUCAGAGAAAUAAAAAGAAAAAUAUUUCAUAAUUAAACGAAAAGUACACAGGCAAAACGAAGAAAGAAUUUUGCUUUUUACUAAUUAACUUCUUCGCAAAGCAGCGCUUUGCUGUAAAAUUUAAAUCUUAAUUUUUUAAAAUAUAUUAAUAUAUUAAAUCUCAAAUUUUUAAAAUAUAAUAAUAUAUUAUUAUAAUUAUAUAUAAUUUAAUGUUUUUUUAUAAACAUAUUGAAACAUGUUUAAUUAAAUUUAUUCUAUUUUUUAAAUACUUAGUUGAAUUUUUAAUACUAAUAUCUUAUAAUAAAAUAAGUGUUCUUUUUACAAGAGUUUCAUAAUAAUAAAUUUUAUAUUUAUACACUUUUUACAAUAUAAAAUAUAAUAAAAUUAAACUUUAUUCAAUAAUUUAAGGUAAUAUAAAAAUAAAUGAAAUUAUUUUAAUUGUUAUUAAUUAUUGUCACAUACCAAUUUUAUUAUGAUGUAAUCAAAUAAAGAGAUAAUCAUCAGAGUUCAAUUUCAUUCAUGUCUUCUCAAAAACUGAAAAAAAAAAAAAUUGAUGUGAUAACCCAGUGAUGUGUUAUCUUAACGUGUAAAGGGGAAACUUAUUGUCUUCGUAUUAGUUGUAUUUAUACCUAACCCAAUUUUACUAUUUUAAAAUUUAAUAUUUAAUAUUUUAUUAUAAUAAUAAAAUAUUUAUAAUAUUAAUUAUUAUAUAUUUAAUUAAGUAAAAUAAAAAAAAAAUUAAAUAUAAAUUAAAAAUUAAAAAAAUAAAAUUUAAAAUCUCUCAUAUUUAUUCAAAUAUAAUUAUUAUUAAAUUAAAACUAUAAUUAUAAAAAAAAAUACACGAGAGAAAUUAUGAAAUUUAUGCGAGGUAAUACUGAAUUUUUGUUUAUGGGAGAGGAGGCAAUACUCUUUACGUGUAGAUAAUUUUUUAAAAAAAAUUUAUUGGACACUUGUAUUUAUAAAAGAACACUUGUUCCAUUUGGUUUAUAAUUUGCCCCCAACUAGAGCCUUCUUUUAACUUUAAUAGACAUAAGCGUGGCAAUCUCCCAGCAGCCAAAUGCUCCCUGUCCCUUCAUUGCUCAUUGCCUGAGCCGCCUGCCCGACCCCAUUCACCUGCCGGUUACAUUGCUUCCGGCACAAAUCUAAUUAACCCAUCUCCAGUUUUAAGGAUCAAAGGCACCCACCACAAGCACACUGCAUCUCUUGUAAGAAUCAUGCUAGUUUACCAAACUUUCUUUUUUUUUUUUUAGUUUCUUUUCUUUUUCUAGACAAGUCAUUGAUUUUCUCAUUUAGGUAAUUGAGUAAUUUUUUUUUAUUAAGAUUGUGUGAUUAAAAAAUGGAGAUUCUACUCAAAAGUUCUUAAGCAUUUGUUAAUAGUUUAUUUUGUUUUGUUUCAACUUUACAGAAUCACCCCAUCAUUAGAUUAUAUUAGUUUAAUAUGUGUUGAGUGAAUAAUUUAUUCAUUUUUGCUGGCGCAGUUCCAAGGUUUUCCCAUUUUGGAAAUCCAGAUCAAUUUAAUAUUUUUAACUUCUUAGUCUUUUUCUUUUUUAAAUUUGCAAUUCAUGGCCCACUGGUCUUUCAGAGUUACCUUUUUGCCUCUGUCCGAAAACGAGCUUUGAGGCCAUGGUGGUGCCACGUUGCCCGAAUGGAACAAAGCAGGAUGAUAACGAUUAACGAGGAAGAGCUAGAGAGUGAACCUUAUGCUUCAAAAAGAAACUAAUAAUUUAUUUAAAUAUACUUGGAGAAGGGAAGAACAAAAACCCUUUUGUUGUAUUUAUUGACAGGAGGAGUGGUGUGGGACUUUUGUGGUGCCCUUUGUUUUUUUUUUCUUUCGUUUUUUUUUGCUUGGAAAAAUAAAGGGAUUUUUUGAGGCUGUCGUGUUUCUUUGUAGAAUGUAACUAAAGCCUCAGUGAUGUGUGGUUCUCUAUUCAAGUUGGUUUAGCAGGAAGAGAGACCCUUUCUUGGUGCUGCUGGUGCUCGUUCAUCUCUCUCUCUCCCUCUCUAGCCCUAGGACACAGGUGGGCUUUUUUUGGUUCUGGUGGUGGUUUAUUAUUUUUUCUUUUUUAAGAGGGCAGUAUUAAUGCGGUCUUGCGUGUGUGAUCCUGUAUUAUGAAGAGGGUAUCUUCAAUUUUCUCUUUUCUUUGGAUAUUUUUAUUGCAUUUUAAUUUGGUUGGUUGUGGUGGUGUUGCUUUUGUUUUUUUGUCGUGUAAAGAGGAUGUGAACGCAAUCAAUAUGUUAUAAUUCUGGUGGAUGAACCAGGAAAAAAUGAAUUUAAAGAAAUUAUCUGUUCAAAAUGGGUGUGUUGUUCUUUAUUUACUAGCCUAGAUUUUCUUAAGAUUACUUAGUUUUCUUCACCUUCGAUUGGUUUUUGUUGGUGGUAAGGUGUCUGUGUUGUUGUCUGAUGAAAAGCUUACGUGCUAAGAGUUCAUUUUAUUUGCUUUAAUUCCAAGCAGGGAGACGGCAUUUAUAGUUGAGAAGCCGAGUUGUUGAGCUUUGAAUUGAUGAUAGAGUUGGUUUCUUUUUGCUUGUCCAUGGAAAUGACGUUUUGAUUGAAGGUGGUCGCAGUAGAAAUGAGAGAGUUGGGUAGAAGCUGGAGAUUCCCUCCAUUUCAUGGAUGCUUUUGUUCUGGCCUUGGCGCAGCUCUAGGGGGAUAACCAUGGAUGAAUUUUCUGGGUCCGCUUGGCGGAAGUCUGAUAAUUCCAGGGGAUUAAAUUCCUCCAGAGUCUCAGAUUGUAAUCCAAGACCUGCAACUCGUGAUUCUGGGUUUAGAAAGGAGACUGAUAGGGUUGCGCUGGCGCGUCAUAACCUCAAAAGCCAGGUUGGUUUUUCUGGGGGGUACAAGGACGAAGUUACAGUUGACCCUUUUGCACGAACCAUAGAAUGGGGUGAUGUUAGCUUGAGACAGUGGCUGGACAAACCUGAAAGAGCCGUUGAUGAAUUUGAAUGUUUACAUAUAUUUAGUCAAAUAGUUGAGACUGUAAAUUUGGCACAUUCACAAGGAAUUGUUGUUCAUAAUGUGCGGCCUUCUUGCUUCGUAAUGACAUCAUUUAACCAUGUUUCUUUCAUCGAGUCUGCUUCUUGUUCAGAUUCUGGAUCGGAUUCUUUGGAAGAUGGACUCAAUACUCAAAUAUUGGAGGUUAAAAAUUCGUCUUCUUCCUUGCCUAGAGACAUGUUCCAGCAGAGAAGUAGGUUAGGAAAUGAAGAUUUUCAGUCUGCAUCUACUCCAAAGAAUGCUUUGUCAGAAGCUAGUUGCAUUCAGUCAAGUUCAGUUCAUGGCCAUGCAGCACAUACACAACUGGAUGAGGAGACUGAAGAAGAUAAAAUCAAUGAUAGAAAGCACGCUGAGCAAGAAGCGGAACAAGAAAGGAAGCAACCUUUUCCAAUGAAGCAAAUAUUGCUCAUGGAGACCGGUUGGUACAGCAGUCCUGAAGAGGUUGCUGGUUCACCAAGCACUUGUGCUUCAGACAUCUACAGAUUGGGAGUUCUUCUAUUUGAGGUCUGUAACGAAAGUGCUGCAUUUCUUACAUCAAAAAUUAAUAAAGUAAAAAACUGAAUAAAAAGGAUGUAAUUAUAUGGCCUGGAUUGAAAUUUUUGAACCGUGCUUGAUUUUCUAUCUACACUCAUAUGAUAUAGUUCUACUUCUGAACAGUUGUUCUGCCCAUUCAGCUCAAGAGAAGACAAGUGCAGUACUAUGUCUAGUCUUAGACAUCGGGUUCUCCCUCCUCAAUUGCUACUGAAAUGGCCAAAAGAAGCUUCAUUUUGCCUAUGGUUAUUGCACCCAGAGCCUAGUAGUCGGCCAAAAAUGAGGUGAACAUGCAAUUCCUUACACACACACACGCACAUAUAUAUUAUUUGCAUUUUCCCCCUUUCUGCUUUUUUAGCAGUGGCAUGUAUUUUAAUUGUGUUGUUGUAUAGGUUGGUACAAUUUCAAGUUUUUGUUCAAAUGAGUAGUCGUUAUCUCACAGAUGGUUGUGCAAGAAAUUACCAUGCCUUAUCAAUUGAAGAUGGAAACUAGAUGCCUUGAUAGACUUGUUUUAGGACUUCAAACAAACUGCUUCUCAUCUUUAUGUAGCCAUGUAAAAAUAAGGCUUUGUUGUGACUUUAUUGUGCAUGGCACUGCUAUGUCCCAAGUCUAUUCUUUCCUCUCAUGCUGAAUUUUAAUUUUCAACUUCAAUAUGUAAGUCCAUGUUAAUCCUUUUGAAACACAUAUAGUCAUUUUUUAUAUCAUAUUUAGAUAAUCAUGUACCUUUCCUAAUGUCGUCUGCAUUUUGCUGCUUCCAUUCAUUCAUCUUCAUAUUGUGAAGAAGCUUGCUUCUGAGAGAAAGGCAUUGUAGUUAAUAUUAAUUUAACGUAUAUGAAAUCAAGUUUUUAUGGUCUUAACUCUUUUGAGUUUGUUUGACAGUGAGUUGUUACAGAGUGAGUUUCUUAAUGAACCAAGAGAAAAUUUGGAAGAACGCGAAGCAGCAAUACAACUCAGAGAGAGAAUAGAGGAGCAGGAGUUGUUGCUGGAAUUCCUUUUGCUUAUACAGCAAAGAAAACAGGAAGCUGCUGAUAAGUUACAAGAUACUGUUUCUCAUAUUUCUUCUGAUAUUGAAGAAGUUAUGAAGCAUCAAACAUUUCUUAAGAAAACGGGAGGGUCUUGCCCAGAAAGAGUGAAGGAUGAUAAUUUAGUAUCAAAUCUCCCUCCAUUGAGUAUUGUUGAUAAUGAUGAGUCUUGUAGCUUGGGUUCUAGAAAACGAUUUCGACCAGGAGUUCAGAAUCUCAAUGUAGAGGAAUGUGAUGAUAAUCUAAAUGAUGGUCAGAACUCAGAUAUGCUCACAGAAACUCAAGAAAGUCUACUUUUCAAAAGUUCACGAUUGAUGAAGAACUUUAAGAAACUAGAGUCUGCGUAUUUUUUGACAAGAUGCAGGCCAGUUAGGCCAUCAGGAAAACCAUUCACAAGAUAUUCACCGAUAAGUAGUGAUGGGAGAGGUUCUAUUGUUGUCACUGAAAGAAGCUCAAUCAAUAACUUAGCACCAAAAGAGCAGCACAUUAAGAGCAGAAGUGGUGGAUGGAUAAGUCCAUUUCUUGAGGGUUUGUGCAAGUAUCUAUCAUUCAAUAAGUUAAAAGUUAAGGCUGAUUUGAAGCAAGGCGAUUUGUUAAACUCUUCAAACCUAGUGUGUGCUCUUAGCUUUGACCGUGAUGGAAAAUUUUUUGCUACAGCUGGUGUGAAUAAAAAGAUAAAAAUAUUUGAAUGUGAUACAAUUAUAAAUGAAAAUCGGGACAUCCACUAUCCUGUUGUCGAGGUGGCUAGUAGGUCAAAGCUGAGCAGUGUAUGCUGGAAUAGUUAUAUUAAAAGCCAGAUUGCUUCAAGUAACUUUGAAGGUGUGGUGCAGGUAGGUUGGUGUUUUAUUUCAUUUAUCUUUUAUCUUCAUUUUAUAUCUAUAAUCGGAUAAAGAAUAACUGGACAAUUUCAGUAUAUUUUUUCAUUGAAAUAAGUGGGUAUAUAUACAGAUUAUAAAGUCUUGUUAAGCCAACUCCUAAUAAUCCUAUUCAAUUAGCCUAUGAUUAUUGUAAUCUCCUAUAAUUAUGUAUAGAUUAUGUUUACACUCUAACACUCCCCCUCGUAUUGGAUCAUAGAAAUUUAUCACGCCCAACUUAUUAGAAAGAUAUUCUAUUCGAGGCCCAUUUAAAGUUUUGCUGACUAGAGUACCCAGUUGCUCUCCUGUCUUCACAUAACUAGUGGAGAUUAAAUUUUCUUGAAUCUUCUCACGGAUGAAAUGACAGUCAACUUCAAUAUGCUUAGUCCGCUCAUGGUAUACUGGAUUGAAAACAAUGUGAAGAACAUUCUGACUAUCACACCAAAGUUUCACGGGUGACGCAACAUCUCAUACCAACUUCCUUCAGCAGAUGAUUGAAUCUUACAAGUGGAUUGAGCCAUGGCCCUAUAUUCUGACUCAGCACUGGAUCUGGAUACCACAUUUUGCUUCUUACUUUUCCAAGACACUAGGUUUUCUCCAGCAAAUACACAGUAGCCUGUAGUCGACCUUCUAUCACUUUUGGAUCUCGCCCAGUCAGCAUCAGAAGAACACUCAAGUGUACGCCUAUGAUCUCUAUAGAGUAUAUCGAGUUUAGGAGUCCCUUUUAGAUAAUGUAGAAUUUGUUCUAGAGCGGCUCAAUAUUUCACCAUAGGUGCAAACAUGAACUGACUUAUAACGCUUACUGUAAAAAUAAUAUUUGGCCGAGUCAUCACCAUAAGGUAGUUCAGCUUUUCAACCAACCUCCUGUACCUCUUUGGAUCAUCAUAAGGGUUUCCGUCAUCUUUUGUAAGACAUAUAUUAGGAAUUAUUGGUAUGCUACAUGGUUUAGCUCUCAUCUUUUUAGUUUCUGCGAGUAAGACAAGGACAUACUUCCUUUGAGACAUAAAAAUUCCCCUUUUUACUCCUCAAGACUUUGACUCCUAAGAAAUACUUAAGCUGACCCAAGUCUUUAGUAUGAAAACUCGCAUGCAAGUAGUUUUUGAGAGAAAGAUCCUUGUACUAUCAUUCCCUAUAAUGAUAAUAUCAACAUAUACAAUACGGAGAAUAAUACCAGUAUCUGAAUUUCUAUAGAAGACUGAAUGAUCACACUUGCUUUUUUUUUUAACCCAAAUUUUUGAACAAUUUCAUUGAACUUGCCAAAUCAUGCACAGAGACUCUACUUCAAACCAUACAAAGAUUUCUUCAAAUAGCAGACUUUCCCAUACUUCCCCUGAGCAACAAACUCUGGUGGUUGCUCCAUAUACACUUCCUCUUAGAGGUUACCAUUUAAAAAUACAUUAUUUCAUAUCUAAUUGGUAUAAAGGCCAAUAUUGAGAAGCAGUUAGGGAGAUGAACAAGCGAACUGAGCUCAUUUUUGCCACAGGAGAAAAAGUGUUAGAAUAGUCAACGCCAUAGGUUUGGGCAUAACCUUUAGCGACAAGACCGGUCUUAAGCCUCACUAUGGAGCCAUCUAGAUUGACUUUGAUGGCAAAAAUCCAUUUACAGCCCACAGUCUUCUUUCCAGAGGGUAAAUCAACUAGUUCCCAAGUAUGAUUUUCAUCUAGAGCCUUGAUCUCCUCAAACAUUACAUCACCCCAUCCAGAAUGAGCGAGGGCCUCUUUAACUGUCUUAGGUAAAGAAAUAGAAUUUAGAGAAACAAUUAAGGAGGUAGAAGGAGACAGGUGAUCAUAAGACAAAAAGUUAGCAACAGAAUAUAGAGAUUUACACUGUUGUUUACCUUUACGAAGACUAAUGGGGAGGUCAAAGUCACUCGGUGAUGGAUCUAAUGGCGAAGAAGAUUCUGGUACAGGACAUGUAUCAUCAGGUACUGGUAGGGGUGAGCAUUCGGUCGGUCGGUUCGGUUCAAAACCGAACCGAACCGAAUAAACCGAAAAACCGAAAUUUUAGUGUUUAUGAAAAUCGAAUCGAACUGAACCGGUCUGAUUCGGUUCGGUUCGGUUUGAUCGGUUUCGAUUUUUAAUAAUUUUUUUAUUUUUUACACUUUAUUUUUAAUAUUUUAAAAUUUAAUUAAAAUAUUUUAAUCUUAAUAUGAUUUAAUUUCUCUAUAUUAUUAAAAAAAUAUAUUAUUAUCACUAAUCGGUUCGGUUCGGUUUUUUCGAUUUUUUUCUGAUCAAAACUAAACCGAACCGAAAUAAUCGAAAUUUUUGAAAUUAAAAACCAAACCGAACCGAAAUAUAUAAAAAACCAAACCAAAUUUUCAAAUCGGUUCGGUUCGGUCGGUUUUUUCGGUUUAAACCGAAUACUGCUCACCCCUAGGUACUGGCCUCCGAGAGCAAACUUAAACAACUGACGAUUUAACAGGAGGCUGAGUAUUAGGAGGAAUCUUACCAUCAAAUUAUAUAGCAGAAGGCAUAUUCGAAGAGGUCCCAGAUAUAAUUCUAUAGAUGAGCCACUCAUCAUCCUCCUCUUGAUUAGGAGAGGUUUGCGUAACAGGAUAAAAAGGAACGUGCUCGGGAAAGACUACCUUGUUGAGACUAGAUAUUUGUUGAGGUCUGGAGAGUAACACCGAUACCGCUUCUAAAGGCGAGAAUAUCCCAAGAAAACACACUUCAAAGCUUUAGAAUCAAGUUUAGUCACAUGAGGUUUGACAUCCCGAACAUAGCAAGUACUGCCAAACAGUCAAGGUUCGAGAGAAAAUAAUAGUUUCUUAGGAAAGAGAACAUUAUAAGGAGUAUUAUCAUUUAGUACUGCGGAAGGCAUGCGAUUAAUGAGACAGCAUCGGCUCAAAAUUGCUUAGGAACUUGCAUUUGAAACAACUGAGCUCUAGCAGUCUCAAGGAGAUGUCGAUUCUUCCUUUCAGCUACCUCAUUUUGAGCGGGUGUAUUAACACAUGACGAUUGGUGAAGAAUGCCAUAUUGAGUCAUAUAAGCCUGGAAUGAUUCUGACUUAUAUUCUUUAGCAUUGUCGCUCCGCAAAAUUUGCAAAGAAACAUUAAAUUGAGUCUUGAUUUCAGCACAUAAGGCAGAAAAAUGAGAAAACACUUCUGAAUGUUGCUUCAUAAAAUAAAUCUAAGUCAUUCUAAAGUAAUCAUCUACAAAAGUGAUAAAAUAUCUAAAUUCAGUCUUAGAUCCAAUCGAGUAUGGGCCCCAAACAUCUGAAUGAACUAAUUCAAAAGCAGACUCAGCUCGUUUAUUAAUUCUAAGACUUAAAGAGCUUUGAUGAUAUUUUGCAAAAUAACAUGACUCACAUUCCAGUAAAGAUACCUUAUGAAAUUGAGGGCAUAGCUUCUUCAAAACUGGUAAAGAAAGGUAUCCCAAUCGAUAAUGUACUUCAAAUGGAGACACGACACUGGAGCAUGCAACAGACUGAGGCACCCAUGCAUCCAAAAUGUAGAGACUCGAUACAUAUUUUUUACCAAUAAUCUGUUUCGUCACAAGAUCCUGAAUGAGACAAUAAUUAGGAAAAAAGGAAACACAACAAUUUAGGUCUUUGGUAAGUUUACUCACAAAGAACAAAUUAAAGGCAAGAUUAGGUAAACUUAGCACAGGUGAUAGGGUAAUAGAAGGAGUAGGUCUAACAGUCCUAGAACCCUCAACAUUAUAGGUUGACCCAUCAUAAUAACAGGAGAAAGAGUUUUAUGAGAUCGAAAGCUAGUAAAAAUAUGAGAAUUACCUGUCAUGUAAUCCGUGGCACAAGAAUCAAUGAGCCAUUUAUAUGAAGAGGAAAUAAGACACGUUUUAUUUGUCUCAGCUUCUACUGAAGACGUUGGGGUAAUUUUAGUAAUAUGGGUCUUACUGUCAGAAAUCAUUUCAACCAAAACCUUAUACUCCUAUACCUUCAAACGAAUUAAAGGAAGAUGACAAAAUUUAACUCAGUGAACAGUAUCAAAAAACACCUCCACUCAAUACCCAAACGGCAAACGAACUACAGAUUUGACAAGGGAGCUGCAAGGCGACUUCGGCAUCCUUCCUAAGUGGACCAUGAGAGACAAAUAUUACCCUAGAUGGGUAGCACAGAAGAACAAGAACCCUAAGUCUCUAAAAAUUUAAAACUUGACGGGAGAGAAAAAAAUUAAAUAUUUACGGGAAUAGUUCUGAACCAUGUAAUAAGAUAAGGAAUAAUUGAACAAUUUCAGUAUAUUUUUUCAUUGAAGUAAGGGGUAUAUAUACAGAUUAUAAGGCCUUGUUAAGUUAACUCCUAAUAAUCCUCUAUCAAUCAAUUAGCCUAUGAUUAUGUAAUUUCUUAUAAUUAUGUACAGAUUAUGUUCACGCUCUAACAAUAUUACUUGAUAAUGAACAAGUUGCUUAAUGUAUUCAGGUGUGGGAUGUCACAAGAAGUCAAGUACUAACAGAAAUGAGAGAACAUGAGAGACGAAUAUGGUCCAUUGACUUUUCAACAGCAGAUCCAACAAUGUUGGCCAGCGGGAGUGACGAUUGUUCUGUUAAGCUAUGGAAUAUCAAUCAGGCAAUUCUAUUUUUGCACUUGGUGGAUGUCAGCUUUGAAACUAAACGUACUAAUGUCAUCUAAUUUCUUAUUGUGUAUAUUUAAUUCUGGAUGUAUGAUAAGUUGUUCCUCUUACGUUGGUUGUUACUGCAGGGAGUAAGUAUUGGUACAAUCAGAACAAAAGCCAAUGUCUGCUCUGUUCAAUUUCCCUUGGAUUCUAGCCGUUCUCUUGCAUUUGGUUCAGCAGAUCAUAGAAUUUAUUACUAUGAUCUUCGCAACUCAAAAGUUCCUUUGUGCACAUUGGUUGGACAUAACAAAACUGUGAGUUAUGUGAGGUUUUUAGAUCCAAUGAAUCUUGUUUCUGCAUCCACGGACAACACAUUAAAGCUCUGGGAUUUGUCAAUGUGCGCAUCUCGUGUUAUUGAUACUCCCCUUCAAUCAUUCACAGGUCACAUGAACAUUAAGGUACAUCCAUUCUUCCAUUAUACAAAGUGUCCAUAACUGUGUUUUAGGACUUCCAUGAAAGCUAUUGGAUCAAAGUUGUUAUUCAUUUAAGUUUCAUUGUGAAUUUUGGUUCACUCAUCUCAGUUAAAACUAAAUCAAAGUUUGCAUAGUAUUAUGGAACAGCAAAUACAAACUCAUGUAUAAGUGCUCAUGGUUUUAAAUCGCGGUCACGGACACGUUCACAGUCGCGGCUGUGACUAACAGAAAUAAGCCUGUAAUGGCUAUAACGUAACAGUCCGGCGCUAUACAAAUUUUUCAAAACAAUUUGCGAAGUUUAUAAAUGAAAUGAAUUAAUUAAAUUUAAUUCAGAACAACGUAUACAAAUAUAUAAUAAAUAUAAAUACAUGAAAUAUAGAUUAUUUAAUUUAACUUAAACAUUAUAUAAUUUAAAAUAAGAAAAACCAACAUAAUCUUUAUAAAUCGAGUUAACUAAUAGCUCAAAGUACAAUUUUAACUCAAAACUAACACUUUAAUUGAUAAAAAAAUUUUUUAGAAAAGGAAAAAAAAUAACUAAAAAUUAAAAUACAUAAAAUUUAACUAACUUUUUAGAAGAAAGAAGCUUGGAAAUAUAGUAGUUUGUAAUGGAUCUAAACUUAUAUGAGAAAUGUGCAAGUAAGAUUGAAAUUUGAAAGAGAACACGAAGAGAAAACUUAAAAAAUAUAGUUUUUGAAGCUGCUGAAAAGUAUAGAAACUAAUGAAAAUGAGAAUAGGGAACAAAAUUUCAAUUACUGGUAACAGCCUUUACUGUUACGUAACGGUCGGUAAACGGUCGUUACCGUUGCGUAACGUUCGUAAUGGCCUUUACGCCUGCAAAUCAGGGGAGCCGUUGUAUAACGGGAUAACGAAUAACGGCCCCCAAAAACCAUUACAUAAUGGAUUUUGGACAUGUUUAAUACAAAUGUGGAUGUUUGGUUCAAAUAAAAUUGUGAGUUACUGUAUAGAAGUAUGGGGAAGCACUGCCAUGCAUAACCAAUUUUUUCUGAGAUGUUUGGCAUUUUCAGCACUUGAUCAAAGACAUGCAAUUGACUGAUCACCAUCAUUUUAAAUGUUGAAAGGCCAACUCUAUUGUGGAAUCGAAUUAUGGAGUUACUGCAUUAAAAUUUUGGUAAAAAAUACAAGGCUUACGUUGAAAAGGUUCUUUAGUUUAAGGAUCUUUUCCCCACUUGAUGAUCUCUCCUACAAUUUAAACAUCAUAUCUUUAAGAAGGUUGUAGACUUGUAUAUUUAUAGCCCAUGUGAUGUAAUUAACUUUAAGGCUGAACAAAUAAAACUGAAAACCAAUUUUGAAAAGAAAAAGUCAAACAAACCAAUUUGUUUGGUUUUCGCUUUCUUUUGUUGAAUUAUUAAGAGAGAUUGUUUUUUUUGGUUAAAGACAGAAUCUUUACCAAUCCUUUGAUCAUGGAUUUGAAUUUGAAUCUGAAACUUAUUUGUUUGAAGAAAGAUGUGACUGACCAACAUACCAAUUUUUUACAAUUUGAUAAGGCUAAUAUGGAAGUCAAUUAUUGUCAUAAAUGGUAGGAAUACUUGUGCUAUUUAGCCUGAUAUAUUAACUUUAUAUCGUAUAAAAGUGGAAAUUAGUGUGUUGAACAUACAUUUUAUUGUCCAUUUCUGUUCUACUUUUUUGCAGAACUUUGUGGGUUUGUCAAUAUCAGAUGGCUACAUUGCAACUGGCUCAGAAACAAAUGAGGUAGUUCAUAUGUCUUCUUAAUUGGAAAUAUUUAAAGGCUAUUUACAUUGCUUUUACAUUACAUACAUUGUGAAGCUAUCAGAAGUCUCGUUAUCUAUAAAGCUCUUAUAAAAUGUUUGGCUCUCAAUAUCUCCUGCUAUUUCAACUGAUAUUGGAUGACUAGAUUUUCCUCUACAUCCACCUUGUUUAUAAAUUUUUGAUGCAGCACAAGCUGCACAACAGAUUAGCUUUCACAGUAACAGUGCUAAAGUUUGGGCAAUGGUUUUGCAACUUCAGCAUCAAAAAUAGUAUUAAAACAGCCCAAAUUUCACCUCAUCAACACUAAUUGCUUUAAAUAUGCAACCUCAUUUUUGCAUUCUCAAUCAUCAUUUAUUUUCUUAAUUUGGUAUUUGAAUGUGGAAUAGGUUUUCAUCUACCAUAAGGCCUUCCCGAUGCCAGCAUUAUCAUUCAAGUUCAGCAACGCCGACCCACUUUCAGGUCAAGAAAUGGAUGAUCCUGCACAGUUUAUUUCUUCUGUCUGCUGGCGACCCCAGUCCUCUACCUUAGUUGCUGCAAAUUCUACAGGGAAUAUCAAAAUUUUGGAGAUGGUUUAAUUUGGUCUGUGCUCCUUAAACCAUUCAUUAUAUUUGCUGAAAAGAAAAAAAAGACAAUGGUGGUGUUUUGGCAGAAACGGAUGCAAAAUAGGAAACUGUGAAGCUAAGAUAGGGUAAAUAAUACAGGAACUUUGACGGUUGCCAUUACUAAAACAAUUUUUGGGAUUAGAUCAUAUAGGAUGCAAUUAAUGAACUGAGAUAUUGCUCAGGAUCUGCUGUACUGUAGAUAAAAAUUCAUGGAAACAAAAAAGAGAAAAAGAAAUUAUAAAUGAUUUCUCCUUGUAUAUCUUUGCUGUGCUUUUAGUUGUUAAUUUGUUUUGCUAUGAGCAUGUAGUGAUCUCUGAGAGAAUUAUUCUUUUUGGUGCGAUUUUUCUGUUGGAACUGUGUUUUUAAUGAAGGUAUCAUUGGACAUGGAAAUGACUUCAGCUCGUUCUUUUCUUCUUUCUGAAACACUCUUCUUCUCCAUUACAGUCAACCACUUGCGUAUUUGAUACUCCCUAGUCCCUUCGGGAGCUUCACUUCUAGAAGCAUAAUUAGGAGAAUUUUUUUUUAAACUAAAAAAAAGAGGAGAUUCCAAUUCUCAUGAUGAAAGCCAUCAGAUUAAUUUAUUUAGGGUGUAUUUAAGUUAGCUGUCAACCACCAUAUCUCAAGGAUCUUAUAUUAUAUUAGCUAUAUAAAUUUCAAUUCUUUACUCCACUAAGCUUGCAAGUUCUUUUUCCUUUUCCUUCUUUUUAAAGUUUGGUUGGCUUCAUGAUUUUAAAUCACAACCAAAUCAUACGCAAUUGUGAAAGUUUACAUGAAUGCCAUUGAAAUCAUAGCUGUGAUUCUGUUAUCAGAAGAUUUGCACAUCCAAACUGUAGAAAAAGAAAAAAGAAAAUAUUUCUAAUUAUUUAUGAUGGCCAAAAAAAUUGAAGGAAGAUACAGAAGGGGUGAAAAAUGAAAAUAGCAAUGUGGAGAAGCUUCAAGGAGAGCAAGUGCAAAUCAAUUGUUCUAAGAGAAUAGAACCUCUAAAAUGACGAAGUAAAUGUGUUAUAGCUAUACUAGAUUUCUUAUGAUUGUAAUGGCAGUACAACUCUUGACAAUCAUGCAACAAUGGCUGCAACUCCGGCAUCAAAAUCCUUUUUCUCCGACAACUUCUGAAAUCUUCUCCAACUGCAAGCAUGAAACUUUCGUGGGAAAUAUCUAUUUACAUUGAUUUUGUUUAAGCUUUGAUGUCAGAGCUAGCCUAGCUAUGAGACGUUUAAAUCUGUAAGCUCCUCGACCCGGUUUAAUAUUAUUCGGGUCUCCUACCUUGGUACAUUUGGGACUGUCAGAGCACCACCCUCCAGGAGUGAAGCUUCCUUUCUUCCGGCCAAGCAAAUCCUUAUCAAUUUUAUCCAAGAGAGGAUCGUUAUGUUUGAAUUUUCUAGCGAAUGGAGCACCACUGUCUAUCAUUUGCUUCGUGUCGUUAAGGGUAAGUAUCCGUGGAUGCUGUUGGGGGGGCAUGUCCCAAGAUAUGAAGUGCAGAUCAUGGUUGACGGCUGUCUGAGCAAACUCUGGAACAUUGCAUAUUACAGUGUGAAAAUAGCCUUCAGGUGAGGAUACGAAGUUGGUGUAAUACAUGAGCACAACUCUCGGGAGAUUAUCCCAACCCCAAAUUAUGUACUCUACAAAUGAACGUGUGAGAACCAUCCAUGCUGAACCUGCACAACAAUGGAUGUUGUUUAGUCAUGGAAAAAAGAACUGAAACACAAAAGCUGUUCUGGUUUUUAUCAAUUCUACUGCACAGCUGAUACUGAUGAAACAGUUAACUGUUGCUUAGCUGAAGUGUCUAAAGAUCAUAAUUUCGGCACCCUAUUAAAGACACAUCCCCUUCUGUUGAGGACUUGGAGAACAACAGCUUUAUUGAUGCAACUAAAGAUAUAUCAUCUAUGACUGAAUUUCAUAUUUCUCAACAAAAUCCCAAAAGCAAGAUAAGGUUGUAGGAAGCUUGAAGCUUGCAAUCGCCAAUAGAAAGAACAGAGGCGUGGACAUGAACUGUACGAAUAUCUCUAAGCAUAUAAUGAAAAGCAAGAAGAUUUCAACUGGUUUCUUUGUAACACUGUUAGUCCAAUAAUUAUAUUUGCAAAGAAUCAGAACCUCAGUGGGCAAACUUAUUAGAAAGCAUCAAAGGGGCAAAAAUGAUGAAUCAUAAAUACUAACCGGUGAAUAAUUUGAAUGCUGUUGGCAAACCUCUGCGAGGUGUGGCCGGGAAUAAAUCUGUCUUCUUUGUUGAGUAGAGACCAGGGUCGACAAUCAACGGCAUUGCGCGUUUUUCCCUAAAUGACACAGUUAGACAACUCACCAUUAAUUGAAUAUGGUUUCUCAAUUUGUAUGUGGGAGAGAGAGAGAGAGAGAGAGAGGGAGCUCACUCCUUCCAACCCAGGUGACUUGUGUGCUCAAGAAAGUUGAGAUUUCUGUUUAUGGUUGAAAAUGUAUGAAGAAGAUCUGCAGAUUCCAAGGCAAUCAUUCAAAAAUCAUGAUUCUACAGCAAAAACAGAUAGAGAGGAGGAGGAAGAAGAAGAAGAAUAUGCAUACAAGUAAAACGACAUAGACCAACCAUCUUGAGUUAUAAGAGGAUAGUCAGAAGCACUGAGAUUAAUAAACCAAUCCCAAUCUUUACUCCUCUUGAGAAGAAUGGCACAAGCAUGAAGAGUAUUAGCAACCAUGGUGGGUCCUCUAUAUGUAACCAUAUUAGCUUUGGUGACCAUGAAAACAUUCCCAACCUUGGAGAAAAGGGGAUGUUUUUCCACUCGAGUAGAAAGCUCCAAUCUUUCCUCCGCCGGAGACUCAAGGUCCAAAUGAACAACGUACUGAUUCCGCGGAUGGUAAAGUGCGUGAAGUGUUCUCCAUAGCUUUUCCAAAUCACCUUUAGACCCGGAAAUCAAGUAAGCAAAUCGUGGGAUUCCUGGAGCAGAGGGAUUUUUCUGUGAAACUUUCAUUUCUGCAUACCCCUCCAUUGAUUGGUUUCGAGAUUGAAAAAUGUUUACGAUUUGGUUGAUAGUAUGCAGUGAAGAAACAAGACCCAUGUUUAAGGAAGUUGCUAAAAGGAACACGCAUAUUAGAGAGCUUAUCACUAAAGGGAACACCCAUUUCUUCUCCAUGUUCAGGGACCCCAUAGCUAGACCUUAUCAUCGGCUCCGGCAACCGAUCGUUCACAUCCCAAAUUUGAUUAUUCCUCCACCAUCUCAACGGACACAGAUAACCCAGAUGAAAACUUUCCUGUGGAUGCUGCAACAGAUACUUUCCUCAAAAAUAAUUGCAGAAGCUGAAGUGCAGCUAAAGCUGUUGAAUCAACAACCAACAAUAAAAUAAUACAUCAAAAUGAUAAUUUCUGCUAACAAGGAAAUUGAAGAUUGCGUGAGCAUCUAGUUGGUUUAUUUGAUCUAAAUGCCGACAGAAAAGGGUAAAAUUAUAAUAUUAUAUAAAAAUCAUGGGAAAAGGGUGUGGAGAGAGAGAAAAAGAGAGAAAGAGCAUGUUUGUAUGUUAAAAAAAUAUUAAUAACUAGGGACAGAAUAUGCAUCAAGAAAAUCGAGAAACACCAAUAAAUUAAUCAAGAAAAAAACAAUUAGUUAAAUCUUCAUUAUCAAUGAGCUAUCAAGGUGUCCAAUUUCCAGAGGAAACCAUUGAAAACGACAUAAAUUACUGAUCUUUACAAUGGGAAAUGUUUCGAUCAUUCAUUGUAGAUCCCAGCAUAGGUGUCUGUUACUACCACAACAGUUUCACAUCAGAAAAAGAAGAAGAAAAAAAAGUUGAUUUCAAUGAAAACCAUACCAACCAUCAUAAGCUAAACAGAGAUCAUACAACAAGAAACAAUACCCAAAUCUAAAAAUCUAAGAUUUAAAUCGUUAAAUCAAUAGAACUAACAUGAAUGAUCUAAUCCCAGACAAACAGAGCUCAACCCAAAAGCUAAAAACAAUGGGGAAAAAAAAUAAAAGAGAAAGAAACGAACAUAAAUCAGCUUUCCCAUUAAAACAUAUGUAAAGAAAUUAAGGAGCAAGAAACAAAACCUGCAGUUUUUCUUGAAAAAACUUCAGACUAUGUGGGAGUUGAAGAAUAAAGAAAGAGAGAAGCUUUAGAGAGGAGAAAGAGAAAAGAAAGAAAGAAACCUAUAAACUUAAGAUUAAAUAAAUUAGAUGAUAUGAUACGAGAGAGAAAAAGAGAGAGAGAGAGAGAGUAUUCGAAAAAAGGACGUGUGUAGAGAGCGAAGUGGUUGAGUUUGUACAAAGAAUCUGCGUAUGUUGCUUUUUGCUGUUCGUCUUCUCUCGCCGAUGUUUAGGAGUUAUUCCGUUAUAUUGGGAGAGAUAGAGAGAAGCAGAGAGCUCCUAGGAUUUGACCCGACACGCCCAUGCCAACCAAAACUACUUUACAAACAACUGUUUCCUUAUACCAUCCAAAAAAAGUAAAUUACAUUGUUAAUUUCUAGGUUUAUUCAAAAUUAUAGCUUUAUUUUUUUAUAUUUUAAAUAAAUUAUUUAAUUUCAAUCAUUAUGAGAUAAAUAUUUAUUUAUAUAACCGAUAAAUAUUUAAAGUUAGUGUUAUUAUAGAAUGAUUAGAACAUGAUGUUUUGGUUUCUUGAUUUAAAUAUUAUAAACAUUAAUUAUUUAGUUUCUAAAAAAUUAAUUAAAAUAUUUAUUUAUUUUAUAAACUUUUAAAUAUUUUUGAAUUAAAUUAUUACAGUAAAAUAAAUGAGCAAAAUGGCAUACUGUAAUAAAUAUAGGUUAGGAGACGGACAGCUGACCCAUCCCACCAAAAUUUUUGCAUGCAUUCAAUAUUUUUAUCCCAUGCUAUUUUUAUUAACUCAUCCAGUCAAUUAAAAUAUUUAUAAUUAAUUAUAUUUCGAUCUUGAUCGAGUUAAAAAUUUUGACCAAACACUGGUGUAUCUGAUAAUUAUAAUAAAAUAUAUUUUUUAUUUAAUUAAUAAAAUUUAAAAGCUAACCAAAAUUAUUAAAAUCAUAAAAUAGAGGGUCAGUCCGGGUCAUGUCCGGCCUGACUGAUGACCCUUUAGACCAAAAUCCUAUAGGAUGAAAAUUUCGGGCUGACCAAGCCCACCUCUAAAAUCAACUGCAUCUGCAUAUAUUUAAUUAUAAAUCAAAUAGAUAAUGAAGAGAAAUUCAAAAAAUGGAAUAUCAUUCGUCAGCUCUAUAAUGGGCCCCACGGUUUUAAAUGGGCGUCACGUUUUAAACACUGAACGGUUUGUUUGUUGGCCUAUUUAAGAUUUCGUUUGAGGCGGUGCGUAGCUGAUUCUGAUCUCCCACAUUUCACAUUUCUCCGUCUGUCCCUUUGUUUUCAAAUUUUGUUCAUAAUAUUACAUUUUGUUUAGAUAGGUGGAGAAAAAAAAAGAAGAAAAAUAAAAAAUAUAACGAUUAUUAUAAAAAAUAAUUUUUUAAAAAUUAUAAUUUUAUCCUUAAAUUUUUAAAAACAACUGAUAAAAUAUAAAAAUAUUUUAAUUAUUUUAAAAAAAUCAUUCCGCUUUCUCUCCAAUUUGAGAGUAAAUAGUGAAUGAAAUAUAAAUUUUAUUUUUCUUUUCUUCUCAAUUUUCUCUUAAUUAAACAUAAAAAUAAAUAAAUAAAUUUAUUUUCCUCUAAGUAUAGAUUAUCCCUCACACACAUAUACUAUUUUUAUUAAAUAAUAUCAAAACUUUCAUCUAAGAAAGAGAAAAAAAAUUCUAUUGUUCACAUUUACUGAUUUGAUAACCGAAUAUUUCCUUCUUGUUGAUUGGAUUAUUGACUUAUCCCAAUUUGGGUGUGGAUGGGGGCUGAGCCUGCAAUGUCAAUGAGAGUCAUUGCUUAAACUUGGCGUUGCUUGGAAACAUGUGGCACCGACUGCUGUGCACUAUGCUGGUGUGAUAGUGAUAGCAUUUGACUAAAAUUAAAGCUAGCUUUCUAUAGUGGGAUGGCAAAUGCUCUAUUUGUGAGCUUUGCUGAAGGCCCAUUUCAAAAUAUGACCAAACAAGAGAGAGAGUCCACAACAAUGAGGCGGCCUAUACAUGAACCAUAGCGUCCACACUAAAACUCAAUGUAAAACAAUAUCAUAUACAAAACAAAACUUAUACUAAAAUUUUAUGGGUAGAUAAAAAUUAAUCCCAAUAUAAAUUUGAAAAAAUAAUAUGCAAACACUAUCUCCUAUUAAAAGUUAUUAACCAAACAAGUCAAAAAUACUUUAAAAACUUAUAAAAAUUUCUUUAUUAUUAAAAAAAAAUUAAUUUUAUUAAAAUCAAACCAAACUGAAACACACGGAUAAAUAAAAAAAUUUAAAUAAAGCUGCAAUUUCAAUAAAGAGCGAAAACCAUUGCAUGCAACACAACGGAACAUCAAUUUGCACUAAACAAUAGAGCGAAUAACUACUAAAAGAAAAAAUGUAUUCUGCAAUUAUCAUAAAUCACCAACGCUAGAGAUUCGAUAGAAGCUACCAAACAAACUCAGCAUCUAAGAGAAGGAGAACAAACAAAUAUCAAAUUUAAAAAUUGAUGAUCAUUAUCAAGCAUUGUCUAUCUUUAUAAACUUAAUUAAUUUGUUUUUUAAUUCUCAAUAUCCAUUAAAAAUAUUAAUUACGAAAAAUAAAAAUAUUUCAAAAAAAUAUUUUUAUUAGCUAUAAUGUUAAAAAAGUAUGAAUAAAAUUUUUAUAUAUAACAUAUAACUGUGCUUCAUGAAAACUUAGUAAAUUAAUUUUAUUUUAAAAUAAAAGUUAUUUUUAUAAAAUUAAUUUAAUAUUAAUUUAUGAAAAAAAUAUUUUUUAUUAAUCGGCGGUGUUUGAGAUCCGAUAAAAGAUAGGUUUAAAAUAUAUUUAUGUAAAAUUUAGUUUGUCCCCACUCUAUUUUUCUUUUAAUUUUUUUUAAUGACAUGUAAUUAUCAUCUUAUACUUGUAUUCUAUUAUCACACUUAUAUUGAUUGUAUAUAUGAAUUUAUUAUACGAUUAUUUAAUUUCAUUUAGCAUCAUUUAAAUAUGAUUUUGAAUAUCACAAAAUAUGUUAUUCCGUAAAAUUAAUAGAUAUUCGAAAUUAAAUUUUUCAGCUAUAGCCCUACCCUAAAUUCGAUUUAUUAAAAUAGACUUAAGAGUAGACCUAUACAUUAAACCCUAAUAAAAUUGAAGUCUAACUUUUAGAAUGCAAAUUCCACCAUUAUGGGAGAGUUUAGGAUCCGAUUGUCAUAAGGUGAAAAAUAUUUUUGUAAUUGAUAUUUUUAAAGAGGCUACGAUUGUAAUGAUUGAUGUUCAGGCAAUUUUACUAUUAUUAUUGAAAAAAAAUAUAGAUUUUAUUAAAUAUAUAUAUAAAAAAUCAUUUGAAGAAUCUAUACAGUUGAAAAAAUCAAUAAAAGGGGAAAAGACACCAAAUUAGUUAAAACAGCCGCAGGCUUUUAAUGGCAACAUCACAUAUCUAGUGGACCUGCGGCUGCGGAGGAGAUUCCCAGUUCAUACCAGACCUUGCACUUGCCAAAUGAGAUUUAGGAAAAUUACUCUAAACGAUAGGGGUAUUUAUGACUUUCAACUUAAAAGACUGAAACAAACGGCGCUCUCGUAAUCAUCGACCAAACGUGUCCGCGAUGCAAUGCUACAAAAGGAAAAUCCCCAUGGAUUCACACCAGCCACGUGUUCCCAACCCAAAUGUAUAGUGCCAUUCUAUAUUAAAUUAAAUUAAUAUUUCUUUUAUUCUGUAAUUUUUAUUUUUUAUAUAUAUUAUUUUUUUAAUUAUAUUUAUUUAAAUAUUAAAUUUUAUUAAAUAUUUAUAUAUUAUUAUAAUCUAAAAAAUUGAUAAUAAUUUUAAAAUAAUUAAAAAAAAUAAAAUUUUUGAAAUACAAAUUAAAGGUGUAUUUAUAUUUAAAUUUUUAUUAAUUAUUAAACUUAAUUUUAUUUAUUUUAAAAAAACUUAAUUUUAUAUAAAAUAUAAUUGAAAAUAAAUACACUUGCAAUUACUGCUAUCUGUAUUCUUCCAUUUGCACCUUCUGUUUGGUGCGACUGCUAAACGACCGUUUUUAAUAGAGAUUCUUUAAGAAAAAGUUAAUUUUAAGAUAUUUUAAUUUGAAAAUACUAUAAUGAAUUUAAAAUUUAAAAACCAAUUCGUGAGCCAAUCAAUUAUCCAGUUGGUUAAAUAUUUUUUUUAAACUCCGUAUAUUUUUUAAAUUUAAAAUAAUCGACGAAAAAUAUUUGUUUAAUAAAAAAAUAUUUUAAAAAAUAAUUUCUAAUCAAGAUUUAUAUAUAAAUUUACCAAUAAAUUUUAUUUUUUAAUAUAAAAAUUAAAUAAUAAAAAAUAAGUUAUUUUGUUAAAAAUAAUUUUUAUGAAAAAUAUAAAAGUAUUUUUUAAUUAUAAAUUAUUUUCUCUAAAUAAACAAGACAUUAUUUUUUUUUAACAUUUGGACGGAAUAUGAGAUAAAAAAAAAGUAAAAUUAAUAUAUGUAACGAUAUAUGGAUUUUUUUUUAAAAUGACAUGAAUUUUUAUGAAAUCACAAUUUUAAAUUUUAUAAAAUAAAAAAUUAAAUUAAAAAAGUUUAAUUCUUUCAUUAUAGUCCUUAUUUGAAUAGCAGAAAGUAACAAAGGAUAAUUUAAAACAAAAUAGUAUCUUUUUUUAAUUAAAAAUGUGAUACUAUUAUAUUAUUUAUAUUGUCUAUAUUUUAAAAUAAAAAUAAUAUAAAACUGCUUUUUUUUUUUAAAAAAAAAAAUUGCUAUAAAGCGGCAUUGGUAAAAUAAAUAUCCAACAAAACAAAAACAAAAA
This 53749-nucleotide long non-coding RNA is filed under the name Manihot esculenta (cassava). Its description in RNAcentral is "long non-coding RNA (MESC_LNC008912)". Lineage: Eukaryota; Viridiplantae; Streptophyta; Magnoliopsida; Malpighiales; Euphorbiaceae. The record is from RNAcentral.